GUGGUCUCAAGAACACCUACUCAAGUAGCAAGCCAUGCUCAGAAAUAUUUUAUACGCCAAGCCAAUAUGAGCAGAAGGAAGAGAAGGUCUAGCCUCUUUGACUUGGUGCCUGAUGAGGUAGGUUGCUACAUCUUAUGAUUAAUUAUUACACCUGUGUGGCAUAACUUGACCUGAUUCUGUUUAUGUAGUACCGCAAGGGGAUUACUCGUUUCUGUGGUGGUAGUUACAAUAUCACUACCUUAGUUCCUCAUGCUAGAAAUCUAUCUUUUUGAACAGAUUGUGUAGUGUUGCAUGGACAGUUGUGCACUUCUCAUCUCGCAUUUCAUUAGGAAGAUAUUACUUUGCACUUUGUAUAUAACUCAGAACUGAACGGUAUCUUGUGUAUUUUACAGUCAGACCUGCCACCCCUACCUGGUAAUCAAGAACCUGAGGCCCAGAUAUUAAAUCACCCACCAUUACCUCCACCCAUGGAGGAGGAGGAGGUAGAAUCUAUGGAGUCAGAUACUUCUGUCAUUGCAGAGAGUUCUUCAGCUUCUGCUAUCAUGCCUGAGAAUUUGCAGUCGAGCUAUCCGGUGCUAGUUCCAGCAUAUUUCUCACCAUUCUUGCAAUUCUCAGUUCCUUUCUGGCAAAAUCAGAAUGAUGGAGAUGAUCUUGGACAAGGAACACAUGAGAUUGUUAAGCCUGUUCCGGUUCAUUCAAAGAGUCCAAUCAAUGUUGAUGAACUGGUGGGCAUGUCGAAGCUAAGCAUAGGGGAUCCCAAGCAAGAUACAGUAUCUACCUCUCUUUCCUUAAAAAUGGUAGGAGGUCAAAAUAGACAAUCGGCUUUCCAGGCGAAUCUCCCAACGAGGGCUCAGGCGUGAGCCCCCUCAGCACACAAACUGCACUUAGAUGAGCCCUGGCAAAAAUAAGCUUUGCCUCUUUUCCUUUUCUUUUCUUUUUAAGAUUAACUGUGGUCUGUAGUCUGUCCAAUGUACCCUGUGUUGUAAGUUAUGUUAUGUAUGGAUGCAUCUGUUGUUUGUAUGGUACAUGAUAUGCCAGUGCAUGUUGACAGAAUCAUUAAUGUUAGUGCUGAUCUCCAGGGUUGUACUGCAAACUCUUAUAUAAGAAAAAGAAAUAUCAGUCAGUUAUUGGACCUUUGAAGUGAGCUCUGCUCAUUCUGUUCAAUACAAUGUUCAUUACUGAAUGAUGAAUCAAUGUCUUCAGAUUUUGUCCGGAUACUGGAAAUUUGGAGCUGGCCAUCCAGUCACUCAAGACCUUAUGGUUGAAAGAAGCCAUGCUAAAUAUUUUACCAAUGAGUGCUGCAUGAUUUUAUUCUUAUUUGGUUGGCAUGUGUCUAUAUGGUUUAAUGUAUUUGUGGCAAGAACAAACGGAUUAUUGGAUUCUCCUUCGGGACAGAUGCUAUAUCUGGGAUAUUCCCUGGGACUGUACCUUUCAAUCCUGAUUCUGCAUUUGCACUCACCUCCAUUAUGCACCAAGUGUUCCAAGUGUGGUUGGUGACAGACAGUAGUGGCUAGUGGCCAGUCCCUUUCAGAUAUAUCGACAUAUUUCCAAAGCUGUUGGGCUGUGCACGAAUGCAUUGUUUGGCCAUCCAAGGACCUGUCACUUUUACAUCUUUAGCAAAAGUCAUAAUGCAUAAUCAGAGAAUCCAGCCCCUCUGAGAGACUGUUCACUUAUAUAUUUUUUUCUCUGAAAUUCAAAAGUUACUUCAUAUCAAUACUUCCACCGUUUGAAAUGGCCAUAUGUGGGAACUGGCAGCAGCUGCUGCAGGCCUGUCAGGCAACACAAUUAGAUGCAACCAUACUUACAAACUUAUCUGCUAAUCAAAAUCCUGUACUAUGUUUUCCCUUGCAGGUCUGAUGGAAAUACAUUCAAGUUCAGAAGUCGCUAGGAGCUCGGGAGUUGAUUUUCCUUUCUCGCCUCUCCUUUAAUCCUUUUCCUCCUCUUCCUUAUCCUCUUCCUCCCCAACAAUCUUCUUCCAGAACCAAUGCCUCCUCCAGACCUGCUCCAUCUGCUCCAUCGGAAGCUUCUUUGUCUCUGGCAAGAACAGAUAGACCACUAGCGUCAUCACGCAAAUCCACGCGGCAAAAACGAAGAACGUCCCUGACUUGAUGCGGCAGAGGACGGCCAGAAAUGUCUGGCCGAUCACAAACGUCAUCAAGAAGACCACGGCGACCACAAUGCUCUGCCCUGCUGAUCUAAUCUCCAGUGGGCAGAUCUCGGUCGGGACGAGGAAUGUGAGAGGUCCCCAUGACCAUGCAAAGCCUGCCACAAACACGCACAUGGUGAUCAACACAAGGAAAGCAUAGUCCUUAUCCAUCAACCCAUCGUCCUUGAACUUUGCGGCUAGGAUGGCGCCGACAGCGAGCUGUGACAAGAUCAUCUGGAUACCACCUACGAGGAAGAGCUUCCUGCGCCCAAACCUGUCGACCACCAACAUCGCUACGAUGUUAGCAAAUGUUGCGCAGAGACGUGUGACGACCGAUGAUAGGAGGGAGGCGCUCUCCUUGAGGCCGAUUGUCCGGAACAUCACUGGGGCAUAAAAGUUCAUCACAUUGAUCCCAGUGAGCUGGUUGAAGAAAGGGAUCAGCAGUACCAUGGCGAGCUGUGGCCUGUACUUCCUCUUGAAUAUGUUUCUGAAUGGAUAUUUUGCUGCCCUCGAGAGGUUGCUAGCAGAGACCAAGUCAUCCAGCUCAUUCUGCACUGAGGUGGUUCCACGCAGCUUCUGGAGCAGGGCUCUAGCCUUGUCGGUGUCGCCGUCCCGCUGGAUUAUGAAGCUUGGCGUCUCGGGGAGGAAGAUUGCACCGAUGGUCAGGAAUGCAGCAGGGACUGCGGCCAUGGAUAGGGAUAUCCUCCAGCCCCACCCUGCUGUGAGUUUCACCACGCAGUAGUUGAGGAUGUUUGCAAUGAGAAUGCCGAUGCUGAUGCUGAGCUCGAACCCAUUGUUGAUCGCACCGCGGUACUGCGGCGGCGCCAUUUCCGACAGGUACAAUGGGAUCGACUGGAAGAAAAAUAAGUAACAGUAACCACAGUAAGGUAUUUAGUCUACUUCACAAUGUAUAUUUAGAGAAAGAAAAAUAUUAUCCAUAAACAUCACAUGCACUUGCUACAAGAUAACACAGCUUAUCGUGUAGUCAAAUGCAACGAUUCUUUGGGAUUUGGGAGACAGACAUGUAAAUUGUCAUUGUAAACAUGUAGCUAUCCAUUGUCAUCAACUUGGAGUUUGGGACAAAUUACAUCUACAGGAAUCUUAUGUCUGUACACAAAGCUUGUGUCACUGCUUCUCCAGCUCCAUACAGCCGCACAAAAUUUGUGAACUGAUGCAGGGUCCGGGAGGAUGAUCUUUCUAUUAUCCAAAAGAAAUGUAUACAUGUCUGACGAUAUUUCGCUGUGCUACUGAUUUUUUUUAAUCUCCUGAGCCACAUGUACACACUGACUUAAAGGAUCAUUGGCUUGAAUUGUUGCAGAGAGAGUUACCUGGUUAGUGAACCCUAGGCCUAUUCCCAGUAGGAUCCGGUUGAGGAGCAGCAUGGGUACGUUCACGGCUGCUCCCCCGAACGCCGAGCCGGCAAUGAAGACGGUUCCACCGAUCAGCAUGGACACGCGGCGGCCAAACCUCCUCGUGACAGAUGACGCGAACAGCGUUGCGAUGAGGCCGGCGAUGUAGAGGGAGGAGGUGAAGACGGUGAGGAGCUCGCUGUCGAACUGGCAGUAGUUGCUGACGUUGCUGUCCUGCUUGUGGCGGUACACCUCCGGGAAGAACGUCUUCAGAAAUGAGUCCAUGGAGGUGACACCACCUGGAAAAAUUCAGAACCGCAUGCAUUCAGUUUCAGGGAAUUUGGAAGAAUGCAUACGCAGAACUAAAGUUCAUCGCGUAAUGUUGACCGAAUCCAUUGCCCAAUGAUGGACUAAACGCAUGAUUCUUUUCCUUUUCUAUAAUCCCUCUAAAAGGCCUAGUCCUAGAUCAUUUUGACCUGACGAAAAAUGGAACAGAGGAAAGCACCCUGAACUCAUCAGCUUUUGUGUCCCAAUGAUGGAAGAGAAAAUCUGCACCACCACGAGGCACUGAAGCCAUGGAUGCACCACAAGUAAGCCAUGAAUGCCACCCGCAAAAAAAAAAAAAGCGCCAUGAAUGCCAUUUUAAUCCCUUCCAACUCCAGCUUCUAACUUUCAGUUCUCAUAUUCCUUUCCCGUUGAGCCCAAGAGGGUUAACAAUCUACUCUAGAAAGAAGGGAAGAAGACAGGCGGACCGGAGAUGCCGAGGUCGUAGCCGAAGAGGAUGCCGCCGCUGCCGGCGACGAUGCAGGUCAGCACCACGAACGGCGUCACCCGGCCGCUGUACCCGCCGGAGCCGGCGGCCGGCGCGUCCACGGACGCGCCCAUCGCCAUCACUCCCUGCCCUUGCUCUCCUAUUCCUAGUCCAAGAGCAGAGUGUCGUUUCGCCGGAGAGAGGGAGGGAGAGAAAGAGGAUAUAUAAAUUUAUCGGCGGAUGGAUCGCUGACGUGCGCCCACUCCGGCGAAAAAACGGCCGCACGUCGCCGGCGAGGUUGACUGAUACUAACCUUUGACUACCUCUGGGGUCCCACUCGUCGGUGGUCCUGCGGAUUCCUUUUUUUCUUCAGCGGUGCCCUGUGGAUUCUGGGGUUUCGAUUUUGUUGCUGGUGGAAAUGAUAUGAGCAGGCCCACUUGAGCCCAACUAAUUACUAGAUGGGCCAGGACCCAGGAGGUAGCUCGGUUACUCACUUGGUAUCGGAUGCCUUCCUCAAAAAAAAAAAAAAAAAAAACUUGGUAUCGGAUGCAACCGUAAGAUCCGAUCGAUCUGCCGGUGGCCGCCGGCGAGAUGGACCUGCCGGCGAACCGCGGUCGGUGGCGCAGGCGGAGCGCACGGUCGCACGUGCCGCUACUCGUGGCCAUCUUUUUCCUCCUCCUUCCGGCAUCCCUCCUGCUCUCCUCCGCCUACUCCUCCCUGCUCCGCUCCCUCCUCCCCUUCUCCGCCUCCGCCCCCGGCACUGGCGGCGGCACCCUGAGGUGUGGGCGCUCGGCGGAGCUGGAGGGAGAGAGGUUCCUGUGGUACGCGCCGCACAGCGGGUUCAGCAACCAGGUGGGCGAGCUGCGGAACGCUGCGGUGGCGGCCGCGCUGCUCAACCGCACCCUCGUCGUGCCCCCCGUGCUCGACCACCACGCCGUCGCCCUCGGGAGCUGCCCCAAGUUCAGGGUCGCCGAACCCUCCGAUCUCCGAGCCGCCGUCUGGGACCACGCCAUGCAGCUCCUCCGGGAGCAGAGGUAAAGCCCAUACCACACCUUCUCUGCGUUGCGUCUGCCCGGUUUACUGAUUGUUUGGAAGAUCACGAUAUUCUUUAGUAAAAUCAAUCAUGUUGCGAGAUAUUAGAGCUUCAUUACAAUGUUAACAAUGCAAACACCAAAAUGUAAGAAUGCUAGGCAAUUUUCAUGAUUUAGAAUCACACUGAUUCUUUUUCGUAAUUGAUGGAGACUCCAGUACGGUGAGAUUGCUGCCAAGAGGAGUUUGAAUAUAUAGAUGUAAUGUGGUUGUUACACACUUACACUGGCAGAGUACUCACUUUUCUGAUUAGCACAAUAGUGAUAUAAUUUUUCUAGUUUGCUGUGUUCAUAAUAGGUUUCCAUGUUCACCUUUUACGCUUCAGGUAUGUUUCGAUGGGUGACAUAGUUGAUCUGUCCCCACUGAAGCCUUUGGUUAAGACAAUUGAUUUCAGGGUGUUUGUUUCAUUAUGGUGCGGUGUAGAUAUGCGGAAAACUUGCUUUUCUGGGUUGUGCUGUUCUGUUUCUGGUGGUGGAUCAUUGCCAAGUGACUAUGACAGAUGCCGAUCUUUGCUGUCUGGUUUAGAAGGCAGUGAAAGUAGUGGUUGUGUGUAUCCUGUUCAGGAUGAUUGUAGAACAACGGUCUGGACAUAUCAGGAGAAUAAUGAUAGAGCACUGGAUUCGUUUCAACCAGAUGAAGAGUUAAAAAGGAAGAAGAGGAUAUCAUAUGUUAGGAGGCGUAAAGAUAUAUACAAGAGUUUAGGGCCUGGUAAUAAAGCUGAGGAUGCUACCUUGUUGGCCUUCGGGACACUUUUUUCAGCACCAUACAAGGGAUCAGAGUCUUAUUUUGAUAUCCAUGAAUCACCAAAGGAUCAUAGAUUACAGAAUCUACUUGAGAAAAUUGAGUUCCUUCCUUUUGCCCCAGAGAUCAUGGCUGCAGGGACGGAGCUUGCUAAGAGCAAGAUUAAGGAGCCUUUUCUUUGUGCGCAACUAAGAUUAUUAGAUGGCCAAUUUAAGAAUCACUGGAAAUCUACCUUUUCUGCCCUUAAGGAGAAGCUGAAAUCUCUUGAGGUGGAAAUGAAGACAAACAAGAACAGUGGUUCUGUUCACAUUUUCCUCAUGACUGAUCUUCCCAGAGCAAACUGGACGAAAACCUAUCUCGCAGAUAUUGCAAAAGAUGGGAAAUAUCAACUGUACACCCUCAAGGAAAAUGAUGUUCUGCAGACUGCCGAGAAGCUUAUGGCUGCUGAACAUGGCAUAAGGUCUGGAUUCCUUCCAGAGAUCAGAGGAAACACGAACAAGGAUUGUGAUCCAGUUCAACUACCGGAAAUUUUAUUAUACGUCGAAGAAUCUGUUUGCAGCUGUGCAUCACUCGGAUUUGUGGGGACUGCUGGAUCAACCAUAGCAGGAAGUAUAGAAACAAUGAGGAAGAACAAUGUGUGCAAAUUGUAGGAGAACUACAUCAUUUGUGCAAGCUGCCAGAAAACUAACCGAUGCUACUUAACGAGUUAAUUCAGUGGGGGCUGUUGCACUACAGAGAGCUGAAUCAUUGCAGACUAGAGACUGGGAAACCAGUUUCAUGCUCAGGUUCUACGACCCUACAAUGUUGAGCAUCUACAGCGGUAUAUUAAAAUUCAAACCACUCUCUCUCUUUUCCUUUGUUUCAGUUGCCUAGAUAGACAAGGUUCAUUGUCUGCGAGCUGUGCCUAAAUUAUGUUGCAUUUCAUCCUCCAAUUUUGUGAUGACAGGCGAGGACAGAGAUAGCUUGUGUAGACGACUGUUGGAAUUGAACAGAUUUCAUGGGCUCUCUUCUUGUUACAGAUUCAUCAUCCAUGCAUGUCCUUGUUUAGCAAGUUUUUUUUAUAAGGAAAUGAGUGAAGAAAACUAACUAUUUGUGUAUAUCUAACUGUACUGUGAUGCACAACUUACAGUGAUAAACAAGCUGUAGUAGUCCCAGAAGCUUGGCUUAGCUAGAAAUCAUCAUUUGCUAGUGAGUUAUUCAGUUAUUUCUAUCAAUAGAAACUUCUACCCCUUGAUGCUGCGUCUCACACAUAAUUAUACACUUAUAUUUUGACUGUUGAUCAAAUUGCAACACUUCUUUUUUCUUUUCUUGAAAAUGAGUUAAUCUCGAUUCUCUUUUGGCUAAGAUUUUCAACUCUGUAGGCUUAGGCUUGCGAUCAAUCACCGUAGGAACAUUCUGGCGUACAGUUAUUCUACAGUAUGACAUGUCUAGGACCAUAUAUACAUGCAUUAUGGCUUGCCAGUCCAUGCAUUAUGGCUUGCCCCAAAGUCAACAAAGGCGCCACAUGCCUGUGACUUACUGCGAUGGAAGUUCUACCAGGCAACCACUUAGUUGUUGACAGUAGCUACUAUGGCAACCCCUUAUCACUAUAAAGGGAGGCCUGAGCUAUCUAGAUCAGGGUUGGGCUGAAAACAGUUUGGAUGUUAGAAUAGGAAGAAACCCCAUAUAUGGUACUGCAUUUCCUAGUACCGGCAAGGCCGGGUAAUGUAAAGCACACCUUGUAACAAAUGUUCAUCACAACCAUCAAACCAACCAAGCAGGGCGUAGGGUUUUACGCUUUAGAUCAACCCAAACAUGUGUAAAAUCAUUGUGUCACUUAGGUGGGACUCGUUCAUCUCUUUGCCCCUCACCGAACCAAAUAAGGUGAGCACCCUAGCUCCCGGGUCUUGUGCAUCAAGCCAUGGCAUGGAUAUUCCAAUGAAUAACAAAUAUAGGUUAGAUUACGUUGUUACAUAGUCGGAUAUUCUUGUGAUAUUUGGACCUGAUUUUUGAAACAUUUAUCUUAUUUUGGCUGCCAGAUUGCAUACAACCUUCGAUGGAGAUGACCAAAAAUCAAAUUUGUUUGCUUUAAUUAUAUGAAGAACAUUCAUGAUAAAAGGGUCCCAUUUUAGGCCGACUUAAUUGUUAUUUCUGAUGUCAGUAGAAUUGAACCCAAAAUGUCGUUCGACACUCGACAGUCUAACCCUGCAAUAUUCUAAUCUUGUCUGGUGGAUUUAUUGAAUGUUAAACCGGCCAAAAUAUUGUCCAAGAUAUGGUGCAGUUUAAAAGCUAAGUUUGGUUCAAUACGUGAUUCGAAUUUUAGUUAAGGGGCAUGACGGCGUAUUGAUAAAUCGGUUGACAUGGAUACAAAUAUGCAAACAUAAAUUUGUUGCCUAUUACAACUUUAUUUGUAACUCACAUGAGGAAUUUGUAAAGAAGCAUGGGUAGUUCAUUAAGGAGGUGCUCAGAUGAUUAGAGUGCAAUCCAAGUAUAUCAAUUUGUCUUUUGAGGGGUCUUGUUUAGUGUGGGACAACAACAGUAGGGUCGGUUAGCUUGACGCUGGCAAUACCCCUCACCGCCACACUGACUCAUGCAGGAUGGAGAAUUACAUCCCCUCAAUGGAGAACACCGAAUUCCCAUAGGUUGCAUCGCCGCCUUCAUCCCUCCUUCACACAUCACACAAUUUCCAAGCACCACAAGAACAUCACAAUCAAAAUAGAUGACUCAACCUUAUAUUAACUUUUGUAUAAACAUAGUAUAAGGUUGAGUCAUCUAUUUUAGAACGGAGGGAGUAGAAUCCAUGUCAAAUUUUAUGUGAAAUAGGCUAUUAUAGAUGACGAUAAGCAUUACAUACUGAUAACAUCUCUGGAUGAGUAGGAGGAUGAGACAAGUAAAAGUGCAACAAGAAGGGCAAGAAGAAACAACGAGCUUGACUUCUUGAGAAUGGCCAUUGUGCUAACUGCGGUCGGAUAUUUUCUUUGCUUCGUACUAGUGAUUCUUUGAGUUUGCUCAUCUAGUGGACAACCAUUAUAUAGGAUUUUCAGAUGAUGAAUCCGUAUGUAAUUUGAUUAAUAAAUGUAAAUAUACCUUCGUACCAAUCUUUCGACCAAGCUGUAAUGAGUUCCCUUCUUUGGUGUCCUUUUAUAUUAAGACUAUCAUGGCUAACCAUAUUUGGUUUUCUUAUUUUUGGUAUGGUCAUUCAUGGCUAUCCUGGAUUUUCAGGAACUCAUAAAAUAUAUAGAUAAACUCUCUAAUGUUUUGGGAUACUACAACCUAGUCCAACUACCGGUGUUAUUUAUUAGCAUAUGUCAUGUAUAUACCAUCUACGUAUUUGUAUUUAUAUGCUAUCAUUUUUCUGCUUAAUUUUCAUCAUUGAAUAAUAAGUUGGAAUAUGAAUAUGUUCAUGUUCAAUUAGCUUGCUUCUUUGUGAACACAACAAUAUGUAUUUUGAUGUACGGCCUUUAAUAUUGACAGAUGAAAUUCACCUCCAUUAGGCACAAAAUACUAAAUAUCUUAAUUUGCAUAAUCCAAGAAUAAUUCUAUUGCAAAACAAUAAAGUGAUUUUAUGUUAAUUUUUAUUUGUGAAUCACAAUGUAAGGAAUCACUGGCAUCUACAACUUACACUAGUACAACUAUGGCCUAUGCACAUGAUUGAAGCUACCCAUCGCAUAGAGCUUUGGGUUGGCGAUCGGGGGUGGCAUCACAUACCCUAACAAAAUGUGUGCGAUGGGAUGGGUGUUCCAUAAUAGCCCGCUAUAGAGAAUCAGGUGCGAUUCCAGGAAGGACCGCACACAUAGGGAAAACUAAAAUUGUUUGUGAUGUGUAAUAUUUCCUUGAUAUUUUCCUUGUUAGCAAUUGUGUCUGAUGGUGUUAUCUCUAUGGGGAACAACUUAGUAGUGGCGCCCCUUAUUUGACCUGUGCUACUGCUACUUUGUAGUAGAGUGGAUGCAAACUCCGCGCCACAGGUGUUAGGGCAUAUUUCUCCCUAAGUGGUUUUGGUGAUUGAUGACAACAUGUUUGCGGACUAAUCGUGUGCAUUGAGCUUUUUCAGUAUAUCAAGCAUAUGGCACAAAAUGAUUAGUGCCCCUCGGAGUUUCAAGAGAAGACAAUUUUCUUUCCCGCAUUUCUUUUCUGUUGGACUUGAGUCGUAGGGAAAACCGUACUAUCAAGAGGGGUCCGCAUCGGAAAGGUUUGGGUGGAAUCAUCACGUACACACUCAUAUAGCACCCACCAAUAAUUUCCGUUCAUUUGGAGUUGUCCUCCGGUUGCAUCAAAGGAGGGGAGAAGAGCCACAAGCGGUAGUACCGCUGGCUUCAGUGGUACUACCGCUGCCCAUAGGCGGUAGUACCGCUGCAACCACCACACGCACUACCGUUCGUGGAUGGGGCCUCAAGAUCUACGGUGGUUCCUUCGGGUACUACCGUGGUACUCGUUUGUCCCCAGUAAAUUGGACGGAUGUGGUAGCGGUAGUUAGGGCGGUAGUGCCGCCUGUAGGCGGUAGUACCACUCCUACUACCACGGCUACCACUGCUCGAUGCUUUGUUUUCUCCCCUGUUUUUCCCCGUCUCCUGUGCUGAAAGUGCAACUAAUCCCUGGGUGGUUUUGGUAAUUCUUAACAACAUAUAGCUCAUUGAACUAAUAUUCUUUCAAGGUAAUCAUUUCAGAAAGUUCAAUGAUUGGCAUGGCAUGGACUAAGAGAUGUGGACCCCUCAAAAUGCUAAGGACACAUAUUGGCAAAAGCUCAAGACUCUACAUUUUCAUUUUAGUGAUCCAAGAUCACAUUGAGUCCAUAGGAAAAGCCAAUACUAUUAAAAGGGGAUGAGGUUUUGCUUAAUGGCUUGCUUGCUCAAAAUGCUUAGUGAUAUGCUCCAAAAGCCCUCAACCACUUCCUCAUUUCCACAUAUGUCCUAAACCUAAAGUCAAACUUGGCCCCACCGAUUUGAUAUAUCCGAUGCCACCGAGUUCACUUGACAUAGCCACUGCCAGAAACCCUAAUCAAUUCGGUCUCACCAAUAGCGAUCUCGGUCUCACCGGGAUGGGAUUGCAAACUCUCUGUUUCCCUUCGUAACAUUUCGGUCUAAUCGAGAUGAGCGAUCGGUCCCACCGAGUUGGCAAUGCAAACUCUUUGUUUCCUUUUCGUAACGUUUCGGUCUCACCGAAAUGAGCGAUUGGUCCCACCAAUUUUGCCUGACCAAGUCUUUAUUUGCUUAUUACUGAAAUCGGUCUCACCGAGAUGAAGUUUUGCCCUAACCCUAGCACAUCGGUCCCACCGAGUUGAUCAUGUCGGACCCACCGAAAAGCCUAACGUUCACACUUUGAACCAUAUCGGUCUGACUGAGUUUCACUAUUUGGUCCCACCGAGUUUGGUAAAUUGUGUGUAAUGGUUAGAUUUUGUGUGGAGGCUAUAUAUACCCCUCCACCCAAUCUCCAUUCGAGGAGAGAGCCAUCAUAAUGUGCCUACACUUCCAGCAUUCAUUUUCUGAGAGAGAACCACCUACUCAUGUGUUGAGACCAGGACAUUCCAAUCCGACCACAAGAAUCUUGAUCUCUAGCCUUCCCAAGUUGCUUUCCACUCAAAUCAUCUUUCCACCAUAUCCAAAUAUGUAAGAGAGAGUUGAGUGUUGUGGAGACUAUCAUUUGAAGCACAAGAGCAAGGAGUUCAUCAUCCACACACCAUCUAUUACCUUUUGGAGAGUGGUAUCACCUAGAUUGGUUAGGUGUCACUUGGGAGCCUCCGUCAAGAUUGUGGAGUUGAAUGGACUUUGUAAGGGCAAGGAGAUCGCCUACUUUGUGAAGAUCUACCCAAAUGAGGCAAGUCCUUCAUGGGCGAUGGCCAUGUUGGGAUAAGCAAGGUUGCUUCUUCGUGGACCCUUUGUGGGUGGAGCCCUCCGUGGACUCGCGCAACUGUUACCCUUCGUGGGUUGAAGUCUCCAUCAACGUGGAUGUACGAUAGCACCACCUAUCGGAACCACGCCAACAAUCUCCGUGUCUACAUUGCGUUUGCUCCCUCCAAACUCCUCCCCUUUACCUUCAUAUGCAAUGAUUUGCAUUCCGCUGCUAUACUCUUAGAAUUGCAUGUGUAGGUUUAUUGCUUGACUUGUGUUAAGUUGCUAAAAUCUGCCAAGACUUAAAAUUGGGAAAAGGCUAGAUUUUUAUUUGGUCAAGUAGUCUAAUUACCCCCCUCUAGACAUACUUUCGAUCCUACAAGUGGUAUCAGAGCUUUGGUCUCCAUUUGCCUUGAUUUCCAUAGCUUUGGUGAUCAUAGCCUUGGUUUCAUAACCUAGGAGAGUAUGGCGUCUAGCGAGGGAAAUUACCACCGUAGAGGUCCUUACUUUGAUGGUACUAAUUUUUCUAGUUGGAAGCAUAAGAUGAAAAUGCAUAUUCUUGGACAUAACCUCGUCGUUUGGGCUAUUGUGUGCAUUGGUUUGCAAGGUGAAUUCUUUGAUGGAAGGGAACCGAAUCAUUAAGCAACCGCUGAAGAAUUGAAGAUGUUGCAAUACAAUGCUCAAGCUUGCGAUAUCCUCUUCAACGGAUUAUGCCCCAAAGAAUUCAACAAAAUCAGCCGUCUUGAGAAUGCAAAGGAAAUUUGGGAUACUUUGAUUGAUAUGCACGAAGGUACCGACUCUGUCAAGGAAUCCAAAUUGGAUGUGCUUCAAAGUCUUGACAAGUUCAAAAUGAAGGAUGGUGAAGGUGUCGCUAAAAUGUACUCUAGGCUUGCUCUCAUCACAAAUGAGAUUGCCGGCUUAGGAAGUGAAGAGAUGACCGAUAGAUUCAUCAUCAAGAAGAUCCUAAGAGCCUUGGAUGGAAAAUAUGACACCGUGUGCACCUUGAUCCAAAUGAUGCCCAAUUACAAAGAUCUCAAGCCAACGGAAGUCAUUGGUAGAAUUAUUGCUCAUGAGAUGUCACUCAAGGAUAAAGAAGAGCUUCACAACAAGUCUAGUGGUGCUUACAAAGCCUCAUGUGAUGCUCCUACAUCAUCAAGUGAGAAACAAGCUUUCAAAGAAGAAUUGAGCUUAAUGGUGAAGAACUUCAACAAGUUCUACAAGAGUAGAAGCAAAGAAAGAAGUUCCAGGUCAAGAUCCUACAAUGACAAAAGAUCUUAUAGUCGUGAGCGUAAUUGCUACAAUUGUGGAAGACCCGGACACUACUCCAAUGAGUGUACAACUCCCUACAAAAGAAGAGAAGACUCACCUAAAAGGAGAAGCAAAAGAGAAGAAUCACCUCCAAGGGAGAGAAGGAGUAGAGAUGACCGUUAUGAACGAAGAACCUCUCGCAGAAGCAAGGAUUCAGAAAGAAAGGACAAGUCAUCAAGGAGCUAUACAAAACGAAGACAUCAAGCUCAUGUUGGUGAAUGGGUAUCCGGUUCCGACUCCGACCACCACUCCGAGAGAAUUUAUCACUCCGACUCCGAAUAUACUCAAGAUGAAGGUGUUGCCGGUCUAGCACUUGUGUCAACCAACUCCUAUGACAUAUUUGACUCACCAAAUGAAGGAAUUGGAAGAUGCUUCAUGGCUAAAGGCCCAAAGGUAUCACACCCCGAGUAUGUUGAUUUUAGUAGUGAUGAAGAUGACUUGCUAGGUGAUGAUGAUUUACUUGUUGACAACUCUAGUAAUGAAAACUAUGAUGAACUUGCUAUUAAUCAUGCUAAUCAAGAUAAAACGAAUGAUGAUGAUAAGAAGGAGAUUGAGCGUCUAACUAAAGAACUAAACACUCUUAAUUUAGCUCAUGAAACUACCUUAGAAUAUCACCGAGAGCUUUUAAAGACUCAUGAGAAGCUACGCUUUGAAAUGCUCAACCUAGAGCAAGAGCAUGGGUUCUUAAAAUCAAUCAAUGAUCUUCGUUAGAAAAGUUCUUCUUACAUUGCCAAGCGUUUACUCUUGUCUACUUACAUGCCACAAGUAAAAUCUACCAACAAGAGUAAGAAAGAUUCUUCUUCUAGUAGUAACAAUAAUCAUGCUAAAUCCAAUAUUGUUGCUUCUGGUAGUUCUCUUGAUUCCACUAAUGAUUCUCUUAGCCAAGUUACACUUGAGCAAGAAAAUAGUUUAUUGAAGAGAAGUAGAGAAAGGUGUUUACAAGAGCCUUGCCGGAAGUAAGCAAUUUGAGGAAAUUGUAUGCAAGCAAGGAAGGCACGGGAAGAAUCAAGGUGUUGGUUUUGAACGCAAGUUCAAUACCAAUGGAGUUGAGUGGGAAGAAGAUCAAUACCCCAAGACGAGGUUUGUUCCUCAACAAGAGAAGUAUGAUCCUACAUCCUUCAAAGGGACAGAAGCUCAAGAUGAUCUUCCACCACAAGACCAUAAGCUCAAAGGCAAAGGACAAGCUUCAAGAGGAGAUUGAUGCAUUUGACGAAGCUCCUAAGGCCUUGGUCAAGUGGGUUCCCAAGACUACAUCAAGUUCUACUUCAUUAAGUACGAAUAAAACUCCAAGGAUUCCCAUCAAGAUGAUGUGGAUCCCCAAGAAGAACUAGAGAGUUCUUGAGGGUGACCCUGCCAACACACUUCACUCAUAUUCAUUUUUAGCAAGGACAAGUGCAAACAACUUUCACAUCUUGCACUAGUUCAAGGAGUCACAAACCCUCUUGUUGGUAAGUCAAGGGACAAGGUAACCUAAUGCUUUCAUGGACAUCAUCUUGUGUGUACUUCAUUCUAUGUCUAUGGAUAUCCUUGUUUGUUCCUUGUGGGACUAACCCAUGUAGGUAUUGAAAGUGCAACUCACUCCAACGGAUUGCUCCAAAUGAUCUACAUCAACAUUGAGCAUCCACAUCUUCAACAUCUACAUGAAGUCAUCAUCGACAAAACCCAAUGUUAGUUCAUCCCUCUUAGGGGGGAUAUCACAUCUAGGGGGAGCUUUGCUCUAAGAAUUGAGCUAAAGCAACUCUAAUGGUGUGAACACACCAAUGCUUUAUGUAAAAGGGGUAACCCCACUUGUGCUUAAACGAUGAGUAUGACCUACGAUCAAAUGUUCUCAUUUGACUCCUCAGUCAAUAUACUCAUAUAUAGAUGACUUAGUCAUCGCCAAUUGCUUGAUAGAUUCUAGAGUGUUUGUGCAUGCUUUGCCACAUAUUUCAUUUGCCAUCUUAUUGUGUGAGCAUGUUGAGUGCAUAUUUUUCUCAUUCGAGGACAUCCAUUUGUUGCUUUGAUUGUUUGGUCUUUUCUUUUGCCAAAUGGAUGAACAAGAAUGCCUAAGACCUCCCUCUAGCUAUCUAUGCUUUUCUCGUCUCAAACUCUAUUCAUGCUACAUCACAAAGUUUGAUCAAGUUGGAUUCGAACCCUCUGGGUGAGGAACACUUGGAGCCACCGAUUCGUCAUAGACUUAAACUUCCAAAACCUCUCUAUGUAUUUCGGCCUAACCGAUUCAUUCCUUUCGGCCAAACCGAGUUCAUUGAGUUGAUCUAGGUUUCAAUCUCGGUGCAACCGAUUUGAACAAUUCGGUCACACUGAGUUGCAGUAAUCGCUUGCGAUUCUGCAUCUCGGUGCCACCGAGUCAUUCCACUCGGUCACACCGACAGGGUCUGGAUAUAUAUAUAUACCACGGGUCAAAUUUUGGAAAUUUCUCCGAAACUGUUCGCCCGUGCAUAUCCAGCUCUGCCGACUCGAGGUCUCCGGAUCGUCUCCUCAUCGCCAGCGGCCCCCUGCCGCUGGUCUCCACUACCGUCAAAGCUUUGAUCUAUAUGUUGUCAUCAAUUAUCAAAAAGGGGGAGAUUGAAAGUGCAACUAAUCCCUGGGUGGUUUUGGUAAUUCUUAACAACAUAUAGCUCAUUGAACUAAUAUUCUUUCAAGGUAAUCAUUUCAGAAAGUUCAAUGAUUGGCAUGGCAUGGACUAAGAGAUGUGGGCCCCUCAAAAUGCUAAGGACACAUAUUGGCAAAAGCUCAAGACUCUACAUUUUCAUUUUAGUGAUCCAAGAUCACAUUGAGUCCAUAGGAAAAGUCAAUACUAUUAAAAGGGGAUGAGAUGUUGCUUAAUGGCUUGCUUGCUCAAAAUGCUUAGUGAUAUGCUCCAAAAGCCCUCAACCACUUUCUCAUUUCCACAUAUGUCCUAAAGCUAAAGUCAAACUCGGCCCCACCGAUUUGAUAUAUCCGGCGCCACUGAGUUCACUUGACAUAGCCACUGCCAGAAACCAUAAUCAAUUCGGUCUCACCGAUAGGGAUCUCGGUCUCACCAAGAUGGGAUUGCAAUCUCUCUGUUUCCCGUCGUAAUGUUUCAGUCUAACCGAGAUGAGCGAUCGGUCCCACCGAGUUGGCAAUGCAAACUCUCUAUUUCCUUUUUGUAACGUUUUGGUCUCACCGAAAUGAGCGAUCGAUCCCACUGAGUUUGCCUGACCAAGUCUCUGUUUGCUUAUUACUGAAAUCGGUCUCACUGAGUUCAUGUGAUUGGUCUCAUCGAGAUGAAGUUUUGCCCUAAUCCUAGCACAUCGGUCCCACCAAGUUGAUCAUGUCGGUCCCACCAAAAAGCCUAACGUUCACAUUUUGAACCAUAUCGGUCUCACCGAGUUUCACUAUUCAGUCCCACCGAGUUUGGUAAAUUGUGUGUAACGGUUAGAUUUUGUGUGGAGGCUAUAUAUACCCCUCCACCCAGUCUCCAUUCGAGGAGAGAGCCAUCAGAAUGUGCCUACACUUCCAUCAUUCAUUUUCUGAGAGAGAACCACCUACUCAUGUGUUGAGACCAAGACAUUCCAAUUCGACCACAAGAAUCUUGAUCUGUAGCCUUCCCAAGUUGCUUUCCACUCAAAUCAUCUUUCCACCAUAUCCAAAUAUGUGAGAGAGAGUUGAGUGUUGGGGAGACUAUCAUUUGAAGCACAAGAGAAAGGAGAUCAUCAUCAACACACCAUCUAUUACCUUUUGGAGAGUGGUGUCUCCUAGAUUGGUUAGGUGUCAGUUGGGAGCCUCCGUCAAGAUUGUGGAGUUGAACCAAGGAGUUUGUAAGGGCAAGGAGAUUGCCUACUUCGUGAAGAUCUACCCAAUUGAGGCAAGUCCUUCGUGGGCGAUGGCCAUGGCGGGAUAGACAAGGUCGCUUCUUCGUGGACCCUUUGUGGGUGGAGCCCUCCAUGGACUCGCUCAACCAUUACCCUUCGUGGGUUGAAGUCUCCAUCAAUGUGGAUGUACGAUAGCACCACCUAUCAGAACCACGCCAAAAUUUUUCAUGUCUACAUUGCGUUUGCUCCCUCCAAAGUUGUGAUAGACUGGCUUAUUAGGGAUGAUAGACUACUCAUAUCAAUAAGGAAUUUCUUCUUUUCCGGGAGCCCAUUCAGACAAAACUACAAAGUUAAGCGUGCUCAGAUUGGAGUAGUUUCAGGAUGGGUGACCGACCAGGAAGUUGCUCCCGGGUGCGCACGAGUGAGGACAAAGUGCGCAAAAAAGACUAGUAUUGAUUUGUGGAGCCAGUCUAGAUACCGCUAGGAGUAACGACCACCAGCGGGUGUGUCCAGGGCGUUACAAGUUGGUACCAGAGCCGACCCUCGCGGUUACACGGAUGUUUGCAGACAGGUGCGUGGUCAUGUUGUGCAUGAUGUUUGUGACCCGUCAUGGCACACGGCAUGGCACAUGUGCCAGACUGGAAGCACAGACGUAUGUGCCAAGAGGGAACGUUCCUGUGGCCCGACGAGGACGUCGGUUCCUCUGAGUGGGGGUGUAUGUGAUAGCCUGGCUUAUUAGGGAUGAUAGACUACUCAUAUCAAUAAGGAAUUCCUUCUUUUCCGGGAGCCCAUUCGGACAGAACUACAAAGUUAAGCAUGCUCAGCUUGGAGUAGUUUCAGGACGGGUGACCGACCGGGAAGUUGCUCCUGAGUGCGCACGAGUGAGGACAAAGUGCGCAGAAAAGACUAGUAUUGAUCUGAGGGGGCCAGUCUAGAUCCCGCCAGGAGUAACGACCACCGACGGGUGUGUCCGGGGCGUUACAAAACUCCUCCACUUUACCUUCAUAUGCAAUGAUUUACAUUCCGCUACUAUACUCUUAGAGUUACAUGUGAGUCGAUCGCUUGACUUGUGUUAAGUUGCUAAAAUCUGCCAAGACUUAAAAUUAGGAAAAGGCUAGAUUUUUAUUUGGUCAAGUAGUCUAAUUACCACCCCUCUAGACAUACUUUCGAUCCUACAUGUGCAUACCUUAGGGAGCGGUAGUACAUCCUGUCUAUGGUCUGAGAGGUGCAUAACGGUUGGAUUUGCCCCCCACUAUAAAGGGGGUCUUCUUCCCCAAGAAGACCUACCUCUUUCUCCCCUAAACUCCAUUGUUGCUCCAAAGCUCAUUUUCACCUGAUUUCUCUCCCUAGCCAAUCAAACUUGUUGAUUUUCUAGGGAUUGGUUGAGAAGGCCCGGAUCUACAUUUCCACCAAGAGAAAUUUGAUUCCCCCCACUAAUCCCUUGCAAAUCUUGUUACUCUUGGGUGUUUGAGCACCCUAGACGGUUGAGGUCACCUCGGAGCCACAUUCCAUUGUGGUGAAGCUCCGUGGUAUCGUUGGGAGCCUCCAAUCAAGUUGUGGAGAUAGCUCCAACCUUGUUUGUAAAGGUUUGGUCCCCGCCUUCAAGGGCACCACUAAUGGAAUCACGUCAUCUCGCAUUGUGUGAGGGCGUGAGGAGAAUACAGUGGACAUAGUGGCUUCUUGGGGAGCAUUGUGCCUCCACACCACUCUAACGGAGAUGUACUCCCCCCAAAGGGAAGCAACUUCGGUACACGCCCUCGUCUCCACCGGCUCCACUUAUGGUUAUCUCUUCCCUUUACUUUGUGCAAGCUAUUAUUGUGUUGUAUCCCUUGCUUGCACUUGUUGUUGUCGUUAGCAUCAUAUAGGUUGCUCACCUAGUUGCACAUCUAGACAACCUAUUUGUUGCUAAACCUAAUUUGUUAAGAAAAACUAAAAAUUGGUAGUUGCCUAUACACCCCCCUCUAGUCAACCAUAUCAAUCCUUUCAAUUGGUAUCAGAGCCUUGUCUCUUUAUUAAGGGUUUCACCACCCAAAGAGUAUGGUUGACACCAAGGAGGAAGUUCCCGAGGCCGUGGAGUUGACUUCAAUCACUCGAGACGACUUAAAUGAAGCUAUGGCUUCACUUAAGAUGUCUAUGACGACCGAAGUCAAGUCCAUGCUUAAAGAAUUACUCGAGGGGAUGAAAUCCACUCCCGAUCCCUUGCUUGUGGUUAAUCCCGCGGCAUCGGAGCUGGAGGCCAAUUCCACCAAGGAAGCGGCUAAAAGUACUAAUGUUCCUUCCCCUCAUGACAAGAAUGGGACGGGAACCUUUGCCUCGGUCCCCCCUCCCCCGGUCUAUGGAGGACCGGUCCCUACACCUCGCAUUAAUAUUCAUGGUCCUCCUCCCAAGCUUGUUAAGGGUGAUUUUGAUAAUUGGGUCUUUCGCACUAAGUCUCAUUUGAAUCAUUGCUCAACUAACCUUCGGAGAAUCAUUGAGCAAGGCUUUUACCCGCAUGAUCCAAACAACUUCACCCCAAGAGAAGAAGUGGACAAUCAGUACAAUCACUCUGCUUUGUUCAUCCUUCAAGAUGCGGUCCCUCCCGAAGAUCUUUCGCAUCUUUGACCCUUCACUCAUGCAAAGGAUUGUUGGGAGCACAUUGUGUCUAUCUACAAGGGAAGCUCAAGCAUUCAAAGGUCCAACUUUGAAGUGGUCUUUGAUGAGGCCGAUGAAUUUGUGAUGCUUGAAGAUGAGGAUCCAUGUGAUCUCUACCGGAGGGUGACAACUCUUGCGGUUGCUCUCCAAGACCAUGGGAGCAAGGAUACGGAUGGCACUUUAAUCAAGCACAAGUUUCUCAAGGCCAUCAUGCCAUUCAACAAAGCAAUGUCUUCCGUGAUUUGUCAAAGGCCGGACUUUCACACCCUAACCUCAAGUGAAGUGUUGGAUGAGUUUAUUCUAUGAACAUCAUGAAUAAGACCGCCGACAAUGUUCUUUCUCGUGUCCGGUCAAAGAAAGACACUCCCACCCUUGCUUUGAAGGCCAAGGCCAUUCCGAAAGAAGAAGAGGAAGAAGAAGAGGAGGGUGGUCUCAAAGACACCAAAUAUGCCUACCAUGAUCCAUGGCUCUUGCGUCAAGGCUUUUUUUGGAGCAAUAAGAGGAACUCAAGGCCCAACUUCACCAAGAACAACUCAACUGGGUCAAAGAACAAGCAACGUGUAAGAACUUGCUACAAUUGUGGCAAUGUGAGUCACUUUGUGGUGGAUUGCCCCUACAAGAAGAGGGAAGACAAUGGUGGAAAACUCAUUCGUAAAGAUAAAGCCAAUUCCUUCCCUAGCAAGAACAACUUCACCAAGAAGACUCCUCCAAAGGGCUUGGUGGCACAUGAAGAGUACCCCUCCGAUGAUGAUGAGGAAGAUACAAGUGGAGAAGGAAUGGCAACGACAACCAUUGCCAUUGCUACAUCUUCUCCCUCCAAGGUGUCUCUCUUCGGCGCCCCGAACGAAAACACCAUUGCCAAGUGUCUCAUGGCCAAGGGUAUCAACAAGGUAACUCCUAACAUCAAAACCACCAUCAUUACUACUCCUUUGUUGUUAGAUUGUGUAGAUGAUAGUGAGGUGGAGAAAGUUGAUGAGAAUGAGUUCACCAAGUUUGUGAGUAAGCUCAAGGGUGAGUCCAAGAAGCACUUUGUUGCUCUCUUGAAACAAUUUGGUGAGGCCAAUGAUAUCAUUGAAUCGCAUGAGGAUACUAUCUCCAAGUUGGAGGGGCAUAACCAUGAUUAUGUUGAUGAUAUUGUGGAUAUUUCUGUCGCUCUAGAAGAAGAGCGAGAUCUUCGUUUGACUCUUGAGGAGUCACACAAUGUUGAUCAUGCUAAAUUGCAAGAAGAUCUUGAUCAUGCUAUUGUUCUUACUCGUGUGCUUAAAUCCGAGAAAGCCACACUUGGGGUUGGCCAUGAUAGACUCAAGGAAGAAUUUGAUACACUUGACAAGGCUCACAAGGUCUUGAAGGGCAUUCAUGCUUAUCUCAAAGAGUCUCAUGAUCAACUCCAAGUGAAGCUAACCGAGGAGAUUGCCACUUGUCCUCCCUUCGUUAUAAUUGAUAAUGCCCAUGCUACUAACCCUUGUUGCGAGCAUGUGCAUCUCGUGGAGGAAAAUGCUAAGUUGAAAGUGAAGGAAAUAUGCCCUAGAGGCAAUAAUAAAGUUGUUAUUUAUAUUUCCUUAUAUCAUGACAAAUGUUUAUUAUUCAUGCUAGAAUUGUAUUAACCGGAAACUUAGUACAUGUGUGAAUACAUACACAAACAUAGUGUCCCUAGUAUGCCUCUACUUGACUAGCUCGUUAAUCAAAGAUGGUUAAGUUUCCUAACCAUAGACAUGUGUUGUCAUUUAAUGAACGGGAUCACAUCAUUAGAGAAUGAUGUGAUGGACAAGACCCAUCCGUUAUAUUAGCAUAAUGAUCGUUUAGUUUUAUUGCUAUUGCUUUCUUCAUGACUUAUACAUGUUCCUCUCACUAUGAGAUUAUGCAACUCCCGAAUACCGGAGGAACACCUUGUGUGCUAUCAAACAUCACAACGUAACUGGGUGAUUAUAAAGAUGCUCUACAGGUGUCUCCGAGGGUGUUUGUUGAGUUGGCAUAGAUCGAGAUUAGGAUUUGUCACUCAGUGUAUCGGGGAGGUAUCUCUGGUCCCUCUCGGUAAUGCACAUCACUAUGAGCCUUGCAAGCAAUGUGACUAAUGAGUUAGUUACGGGAUGAUGCAUUACGGAAUGAGUAAAGAGACUUGCUGGUAACGAGAUUGAACUAGGUAUGAUGAUACCGAUGAUCGAAUCUCGGAAAGUAACAUACCGAUGACAAAGGGAAUGACGUAUGUUGUUAUGCGGUUUGACCGAUAAAGAUCUUCGUAUAAUAUGCAGGAACCAAUAUGAGCAUCCAGGUUCCGCUAUUGGUUAUUGAUCGGAGAUGUGUCUUGGUCAUGUCUACAUAGUUCUCGAACCCCUAGCGUCCGCACGCUUAAUGUUCGAUGACGAUUUGUAUUAUGAGUUAUGUGAUUUGAUGACCGAAGUUUGUUCGGACUCUCGGAUGAGAUCACGGACAUGAAGAGGAUUCUCGUAAUGGUCGAGAGGUAAAGAUUCAUAUAUUGGAAGGUUGCAUUCGGACACCGGAAUGGUUUUGGAAGUUUCGGAUAAGUUUCGAAGUACCGGGGGUUACCGGACCCCCCCGAGAAGUUAAUGGGCCAUCAUGGGCCUUAGUGGAGGAUAGAGGGCCGGCCAAGGAGGUGGCGCGCAACCCCCUUGCCAAUCUGAAUUGGACAAGGGGUGGGGGCGGCGCCCCCCUUCCCUCUCCUACCCCUUCUCUCUUUCCCCCUUUUGCUACUCCGGAAAAGGAAAAAAGGAGAGGGGAAUCCUACUAGGACUAGGGAGUCCUAGUAGGGCUCCCCACACUUGGCGCGCCCCUAGGGGGCCGGCCUCCUCUCCUCCCCCUUUAUAUACGAAGGCAGGGGCACCCCAAAGGCACAACAGACAAUCUCUUAGCUGUGUGCGGUGCCCCCUCCACAGUUUACCACCUUGGUCAUAUCGUCAUAGUGCUUAGGCGAAGUCCUGCGCCGGUAACUUCAUCAUCACCGUCGCCACGCCGUCGUGCUGAAGGAACUCUCCCUCAUCCUCAACUGGAUCAAGAGCUCAAGGGACGUCAUCGUGCUGAACGUGUGCUGAACACGGAGGUGCCGUACAUUCGGUCCUAGGAUCGAUUGGAUCGUGAAGACGUUCGACUACAUCAACCGCAUUACUAAAUGCUUCCACUUUCGGUCUACGAGAGUACGUGGACACACUCUCCCGUCUCGUUGCUAUGCAUCUCCUUGAUAGAUCUUGCGUGAUCAUAGGAUUUUUUUGGAAAUACUGCAUUCCCCAACAGAAAGAGCAACUUGAGAAGGGCCUUGUGACUUGCAUACAAGGCGAGAAGAACCUCAAUGACCUUUUCAACAAUGAAAAGGAAGUUGAGGAAAGGAAGGACUUGCGUUUGUACCCAAUUCAAAGAAGAAGAAGAAGAAGAAGAAGAAGAAGAACAAGACCAAGCAAUCUCUCCCGCUCAAGCACACCUUUGUCAAGGCGGGUGAGGGUGCUCAUGAGAAGAGGAAGAACAAGGAAGUGGGUGGUAAUGCCAAGAAGGGCAAAACCGCUCCUAGCAACGAAGCCGGCGACUUUAACCCCUCCUAUGUUUUGUGCCAUGCUAGUGAUGGGCAUGUUUAUGCUUUGUUGGUUCUUCUUAUGAGUACAUUGAAUGGUCUAUUUGGGUUCCUAAGACACUUGUUACUAACAUCAAAGGACCCAUUCAAAAAUGGGUACCUAAAUCCAAUCAUUGAUCUCUUGUAGGAGUUUGCUUCCGGUGGGGUGUCAUGGUUGCUCGAUAGUGGAGCAACAAAUCAUAUGACCGGGAGCAAGGAAUUGGUGGUGGAUGUGCAUCCAAUUCCAUAUAUGCCCAUCCAUGUCCAAUUCGGUGAUGCUUCAACUUCUAAGGUAUUGGGGCUUGGCAAGGUGGUCAUCUCUCAAGAUUUAACUAUUGAGAAGGUCAUGCUUGUUGAGUCCCUUGCAUACAAUUUACUUUCUGCUCGUCAACUUGCACUUGUGGGCUUUGCAACAUUCUUUGAUCUUGAUACCGUGGCCCUUUUGUGGAGCAAGACUCUUAAAGUAGCCUUUGUUGGGCAUGUCGAGAACGGUCUCUAUGUGGUGAACUUUUUGGAGUGACCCAUUAAGACCGCGACGUGCCUAAUGGCUAAAGUUGAUGUGUGUUGGCUUUGGCAUCGCCGUAUAGCCCAUGUCAACAUGAGAUAUUUGCAAAGUCUCCUCAAUGGGGACCAUGUGCGUGGACUAACAAAUGUGAGUUUUGCCAAAUACCGCGCUUGCAAUGCUUGUAUCGAAGGAAAGCUUCAUGAAACGGCUCACCGACCAUCGACUAUCAUCUACUCAAAGAGGCCCUUGGAGCUCCUUCACAUGGAUCUCUUUGGUCCUCCAUCCUUUGAUAGUCUUGGUGGAAGAAAGUAUUGCUUGGUGAUUGUGGAUGACUACUCAAGAUACACAUGGGUAUACUUCUUCAAGAGGAAGAGUGAGACUCAACAAACUGUCAUUAAAUUUGCAAAUGAAGCUCAACGUCAACAUGAAGCAAAAAUCUUGAUGAUUAGAAGUGACAAGGACACCGAGUUCAAGAACUACGCCUUGGAUGAGUUUCUUAGUGACAAGGGGAUCCAGCACCAAUAUGCCGCACCCUAUACCCCUCAACAAAAUGGUGUGGCGGAGAGGAAGAACUGGACGUUGAUGGAUGCGACAAGGACCAUGAUGGAGGAAUUGAAAUCUCUGUACAACUUUUGGGCCAAAGCCAUCAACACCGCUUGUCAUGCUUCCAAUAGGCUCUACCUCCACAAAGGCUUGAACAAGACUCCUUAUGAGAUACUUACAGGCAACAAGCCCAACCUCAAGUAUUUUCGGGUGUUUGGUUGUAAGUGUUUCAUUCUCAAGAAAGGUGUUCGUUUGCCAGCUCAAGAGGGCAUAUUUGUUGGUUAUGCUACAAACUCUCAUGCUUACCGUGUCCUCAACAAGUCCACCGUACUCACUGAGGAGACAUGUAACAUGGAGUUUGAUGAAAAUAACGCCUCCCAAGUGGAGCAAAGUGGUCUUUGUGAUGUAGGUGAUGAAAUUCCUCCCCAAGCCAUAAGAAGAAUGGGGAUUGGUCAAAUACUCCCCACUAAGGAACCCCUUGUGGCCGAAGGAGAAGGACAAUGCUCUACUCAAGUGGAGCCAUCACCUACGCUCAGUGGCGGAGCUAGAAUUUGACAUCAGGGUGGUCCGACCCCCAAAUUUUUUUUACAAGAAAUAUGACAUGUGGACCUUCUAACCAGUUACCAAUAUCAUAUAGAAAUAGAUCAUUAUUGUCUUACAAACAUAUUAAAAUUCUCAAUUAAGUCUAAGUUUUGCAUAAAGAAGCAUACAUAGUGCAUACUAUAUGGACCAUAAUACAUACCUUGAGAAGUUCAAAAAGACUAUGUUUCUGGCCUACGCUUUUGCAUUGUCAUGAAAAUAUCAAUUAUAUCAUCUUCAUUCACCUCGACAAAAGCAUCCCUCUCAAUGUGUGUGACUAGUCAAUCAUCCAAAAGACUAUCAUCCAUCGUACCUUGUGUGCAUAAAAACAAAUUAGUUGGAGGGAUUUAAUAAGAAUUCUUGAAGAAAUACUAAUUUGAGAAGCAAAUUUGCAUACCUUUUGUGCAUCAAAAGCAACAAAUGAGUUGGCAGGAUUCAAACAGACAUACAAGAAAGCAACUCCAUAUUAGUCUCACCAAACCGAUUUUCAAGCUCUUGACUAAUUUUAUCAAUGACUCCAAGGAAAACUUCUCUUCUCCAGCUUGCUCUUCGGCCACAUCUCCCUGCCUUCUUCUUCUUCCCUAUCUCCAUAGCUUCUCUCUGGAAAAGAGAAACAAUGUCUCCGGCCCUCUUCAUUCUUCAACAAUUUCGCAAUAAAAAUUAGUUUCUAUCAAUAAAGCUAAUUGCAGCAGAAAUGAUGUGAAAUUUAUGCAUGUGUUCAUCAAUUCAUGAUAGCUUAGUGCAAAAAAGCAAACCCUAAAUAACAAAUUAGGGGGUUUUGGUACCUUAAAUCAGUUUACACACUUGCUGGUUGCUGCGGUGCUGCCUCCGAAGACUGGCUACUGAGCGCCUGAGCGGCACCGACGGCUGUCGGCUUUGCAAGGAGGCACCAAGGCAGAGGGCCGGACUCUGGCGGAGGUAGGGCGGACGGGCGGCGGGGCCAGGCGACAGGCGGCCCGGGUCAAGGCAGGGGCGGGCGGGCGGCAGGGCCAGGCGAGAGCCGGGCGGGAAGGGGAGGCGGGCUGGGCUCCGCCGCUCCGGCCAGCGACUGGCGAGGCCGCGAGGAACGGCGGCGGUAAGGCGAGGGCCGGAUGGCAUCGAGACGAGGGCAUGAGGCGGCUGCAGACCUGCAGUGGACGAGACGAGGGCGUGGCUCCGUUCCGCUGCUGGAUCAAUCAGUAUGUGUUUUGGGCUGAUUUUUUCUGACCUAGUUAAAAAUCCAUAGGUAUAUAAUAAACUGGCCCAAAAUCCCAGGGUGGGCCGCGGCCCACCCUGGCCACCCUGUAGCUCCGCCCCUGCCUACGCUAGACCCACAUGCUUCCGAAGAUCAAAGUGAAGGCCCUCAACCCAAUGAACAAGAUCAAGGGCAAGAUCAACUCCAUGGAGAUGGUGAUGCACCAAAUGAUGCCCAAGAUCAAGUUCAUUCCUCCGAGCUCGCUCAAGGUCAAGAGCAAGCUCAAGACGGUGCUCACAAUCAAGAGCAAGCUCAAGAUCAAGAGCAAACUCAUGACGGUGCUCAAGAUGUGCAAGAUGAUCCUCAAAUGCCCAUCGAGGAACUUUUGGAGCGUCGUGCCACUAAGGUGGCUUCCAAGCUCGAGUGUCAACAACAUGUCAUGGAGAAUGUGCCUGAAGCUUGAUAAAAGGGGUAACUACUCGCAAACAAUUGUCAAACUUUUGUGAGCAUCACGCAUUUGUUUCGUGUGUUGAACCCCAAAAGGUACAUGAGGCGCUUGAUGAUGAGGAUUGGCUUGAAGCAAUGCAUGAUGAACUCAACAACUUCGAGCGCAAUCAUGUUUGGGAAUUAGUGUUGGUGCAACCGAACCUGGAUCCGUUUCCCAGACUGUGCACAGGCCCAAGAACAAGAUUACAACACCAAGAUCAGAUCAAAGCGCGAGGGAUCAGUUCUUUGAAGGAUCAAAGUGCAAAUCAAGAAUACCAAGACUAGCUAGAGAGACAAGAUACCACUACGAGAAGAACCUCUCUUGCCGGGCAGGCGAGCCUGGCGAGGUGGGGGUUGCCCCGGAAGCGAGCCUCCAAGAUCGCCCCAGCAGGUCUGCCGGGGCUCACGGAGGAAAACCACUCCACCACACCACCUCACAGCAAUGCACAUCGUCAAUCAGUGCGGUGUCAAGCUCCUAAGUGACUAGGUGGCUGCUCCCUGCCACAUGGCAGCCAUUUCCUACAGAAAAUACCUCCAAGCGACACCCGUUCUAAUACGUGUCAAGCAAGCAGGUGCGAAGCUGGCAAAACAACCCGAUAGGGCCUACCGGGCAAGCUGUGAUGUGACAUUGAGCGACGCAUUUAAUGUGCUCUGCUAGUCUGCAGAGUUAGGUAUGAUAUCACUAUUGGCUAUCUAAUCAGUAUGUAAAGACUGAUUUGCCACUGUGGUGACCCCUUGAUCUAUAAAAGGAGGCCCAUGGCAAAUGUAGAAAGGAUUCAGACCCCCACACAUUCAUACGCGCGUAGCCACUCUCGCCUCGAGGUAACCCUGUCGGGCAAGAACGUUGUGUUUCUCCACCAUUUUCCACCAUCAAUCCACCAAAGGAAGAGUAGGGUUUUACGCCUCGUGGUGGCCCGAACCUGGGUAAAACUGCCUGUGUGAUCUCCGCCGUGCUGUGUUACGCUUCUCCGCUCUUUGUGCAACAUGCACAUCCCCCCGCCAAAACAAAACGGGCUCAUGGCCCCAUAGGUGGCCGUGGUUUACCACGACAUCUUUGGCAUGCAAGGUAGGGGGAUCACUUGCGCGAACCCAAGAGCGUAAGCAACACGCCAUCUUCAUCUCCAUUUUCAUCAUCGAUGGAUCCAUCGACUAUGGCGGCCAAGAAGAAGUCCGGUGCCGUAGCCCACCCAUCCACCUCGAAGGCCCCGCCGCCCGCGACCGUCGAUGCCGCGGGGAAUGCAGAGGUACAUGAGGAUGUGAGCGCCGUGGGAGACGUGGUCGGUGCAGGCGGCGUUGUCACCACCUCCCCCAUAGCCGAAGCAGGAGCUGGAGGCACCGGAGAAGGACAACACCAACAACAUCUUGGCGACCAUGCUCCGCGAGGUACAGGUAGAGAGAUUAUUCCUUCUGUCCCUCCCAGCCUGGCCGAGAGGGGCAUAGCCAUGACGGUGAUGUUCGCCCCGAGGCGAAUCGCAAUCCUACGACCGCCCCCGCCAUGGGCGCGGUCGCGGGACAUGCACCACCCUUGGAGCAAACUGGCCCAGCCCAUUCUCCGAACAGAGUCAUUGGCCCACGCGCGCCAUCACCUUGUCACCACACCAUCCCAACAACUGGCUCCCGAUGACAGGAGCCCGAUGCAACCACCACCGGCAUCGUCAGGAGCCGAGCGAAGUUGCGGUCUACAUCAUCAUCACCAAUGCCAAGCACCGCUUCAGAGGCCAUGGCGCAGGCCCAACUGCUAUUGAGGUUUCCGUCGACAGCUGGUCAAAUGGAUGAGUGGAGAGCCACCAUUCAGAGUCUGUUUGGCUUUGCCGAGGCUGGAGGAUGACAGCAAGCUGGCCCACCAUGGCCUCCCUAGAUGAUGAUGGCAGAUCAUGCUGCUGGCCGUGCAGAAGGGGCCACCCCCAUGGUGCAAUCCCUUCUAUGGCAACCAGCGCGAGGGCCACGAGACCAAGAGCUUGAUGACAUCUCGAUGGCUUCGUCCGAUCCUCGAGCACAUCAAGGCCGACGGCAAGCCCCGGAGGAUAGGCAGAUGGAGGGCGCGCACGUCACCAUCGAGCUACGUCGCAGCGGCCACCAAUAGUACAAUGGGCGCGAUGGCCCCAACGUCGACGGGCUUGUGCUCGGCAUAGGCGGGUACCUACUAUCGGUGUCAAAACCGGCCGAUCUCGGGUAGGGGGUCCCGAACUAUGCGUCUGAGGAUCAAAGGUAACAUGAGACAAAGGGGACAAGAUGUUUACCCAGGUUCGGGCCCUCUUAAUGGAGGUAAUACCCUACUUCCUGCUUGAUUGAUCUUGAUGAGUAUAGGGGUUACAAGAGUUGAUCUACCUCGAGAUCAUAGUGGCUAAACUCUAGAUGUCUAGCCUAUAUGAAUUCUGAUAGCCUCUAUGGACUAAACCCUCCAGUUUAUAUAGACACCGGAGGGUCCUAAGGUUGUACAGAGUCGGUUUAUAGAGAAAGGAAAUCAUACAUCUGGAUGCGAUGGUUGAGAACUUCCCCAACCCCAAUAAGGAGGAGAGGGUGUGCUUCGUCCCAUUCCUGUUGCGGGGCCUGGGAUCUCCCAUCCAUCCCUUCCUCAGGGGUUAUUGGAAUUUUACAGCAUCUAACUACGCAACCUCACCCCAGGUUUGAUUUUGCACAUGUCAGGUUUCAUUGCCCUUUGCGAGCUAUUCUUAGGCAUUGAGGCCCAUUUUGAAUUGUGGAGGAAGUUCUUUUGCCUCGUUCCCUGCCACCGGGGCUGUUCCAUAUUUGAAGUGUGCGGUGCCGAAGUAUGGCGUAUAGCCGGAUCCAGAUAUCUCAUAGGAACACCUAAAGAGGUAUACCCACAAUGGUCUUUAGAAUGGUUCUAUAUGGAUGACGUUUUGUCGCCGGAUCCAGUUCAGUGCGGCCUCCUAGAAUUUUCAAAUGCUCCCUUAAAGAAGCGCCUCAACUAGCGUCCCCGAAGCCCCAAGGAAGAGGACAAUGCGGAGAUGAAGAGGUUGGUCAGCAAGGUCAGGUUGCUAGCCCAUACCGAACUCUCGAUAGUUGAGGUUAUGGCGAUUGCAAUAAAGAGGUGCGUUCAGCCUCUCCAAUCCAGAGUAACUCCCUUAUGGUGUUACAAUGGAGAAGAUGACGCGUCCCAUUACAGACAGAAGGGUCCGAAUACUCUAGCCGAACUGGCCUCUAUUUUGGCCGAUCUGUAUAAGGGCGAGAAGGAAGAGAUUCUCCAGUUAAACUGCUGGGAGGGUUAUUCCAUGUACACCCCCAUUGAAUGGGUAAGAUUUCAAUCGUCUGUAUUUAUUUGACUACUUUACAGACACUAAUCAAAUUUGCCCUUUGUUGCCACCAACAGUCAUGGAGGAAGAUUAUCGAGGACGUCCACUGUCCCGCUCCCCAGCCAAAGGAUCAUAAUCGUGAUAAAGAUCCUAGCUUUUGUGAGGAUCCGGACAUAUAUAUAGAGUUCGACGAUGGGGUAUUUUAUCAAGCGAGCCUUGACGGUUCGGAGGUGGCUAUUACCGCCGACUACCCCCGCCUCUAUCCCUUCUGCAUUGUGAGUAUUCAGAGGGUCCUUAAAAGGAAAUCCUUAUCUGCAUUUUUAUCUCCUAUACUGAUCCGAAUUUUAAUAGGAUCGACGCUCUAGGGACCGUAUUCCCUCAAGGGUGGCCCCUACGCAAGGCCGUCGUUCAAAAUGAAAAGGGACUGGGAGUGCUGCGGAGACCUCACAGCCUUCCAAGAGGUACGUGUGCUGUAAUACAUGCCUAGGCAUGAGUCCGGAUUGUGAAAUGUCUCCUUUUAUCCUUGACAUCAGGAGGAGUACGCGGCGGACGGUUGAAAAAUGCCCGAUUAGCUGAAUGUCUACUGAUCCGGCGCCGGACUCGUCAACUAGGACGCGAGCCGAUGCAAUGCCAGUUCCACCUCAAGAAGAUUCGGAUGACAUAUCCAUCACGAAUUCUGAAGUGGAAAGUGUGAUGAAUCACCGUCAAUUGAAAUAGGCUAUGCGGGCUCCGGAGUUUUCGAACAAGAGUUUACCGCACUCAGUUUGGUGGAUGCAUAUCUCCAAGCCGCUCAAGACGGACUUGCCGGAGUCAUUCAGCUAUUCUCGAAGGACAUACAGGUAAAAGUUUACGCAUUUUUUUGAUAUUUAUGUGCUAGUAGCCCCCAAGACAUGAAGCGGUGAGUUAAACCGAUUUAAGGAUCGCUAUCACCCGCAGGUUCUCAAAGAGAAAAAUUCCGCACUGUCUCAGGAGCUAGAAGCAAAUCAUACAAAGUUAAAUGCUGUCACCACCGAACUAGUGGAAAUAAAAAAAAGGGCACAAUGAGUGUGUCCGGGAAGAAUGAACAUGACGAGGAGAAAGACAGACUAUCCGAAGAGAUGGAGAGCUUAAAAGCUCAGUUAUCCUCUCUUAUUUAGAACCAUCCUAGGUGCUUAUGUGCAAUCCCUUAAUUCAAAAUGUCAUGAUCUGUUGCCACAUGCCUGUUGACCAGAGGGAGAAGUAUCCGGAUUUUAAGGCGAUGUGCUAAAGGAACUUUGUGGUACAUUCUCGGGCCCGGAAAGCCAUGAAAAGUAUGGUGAAGGCUUUAUGGCCAUCUGAUACCCCUCCGGAAAGUAUGGAGGGCCUGGCAGACCUGUUCAAAGGUGCUCGGCGCCGGUUGGAGCUAUGGAAGACAUCGGCCUACCGCGAAGGUGCACGAUAAGCCUGUGCCAUGAUGAAGACACGUUUCACUAAACUGAAUUCAAAUCAUAUGGCCCAAGUGGGACCGCAAGGAUCAGACUGGAAAGAAAUUCCCAUGAAUUUGGUGUAUGACCAAGUAAUGGUAGCUGUGAAGUAUUCGCAGGAAGACUGUAAAUUAGACAGUCUUAUAGAUGGGAUAGAUAAGGAAUAGGUUUAUGUAUCAAUCAACCUGUACCUUUAUCCGAACAUGUAAAGAAUUUAUCAUUGCAGGCUUUCGGCUUUAACCUCCGAACCAAAAAAUUGGUGGAGUGUUUCCGGAUACUUUUUAAAAGAAGCAUCCAUUAUGUUCGGAAACUAGGCAACCCAGUAAUUGUGCUCAAACGGACAAAAAGUUUUAGUUCGGGUUGUAUGUUAUAUUACGUAUGUAAGAAACAUCUUCCAAGGAAAAUAGUUCCAUUAAAGGUUCCUUUCCUUGGGUCGGCAUACUAUGCUUACACGUGCCAGGGUGUGUGUUUCAUAAUAUGGAAAAACUGUCUCGCAAUGUUUUAAAGUAGUUGCAAUACUGCAACAAUUUGUCAUUCGAUUGCCGACCAAUUAUUCCCUUAAGAACGCUAGCUUUUGGCUUCACCCGUCUGAGGUACAUGUCCGGAUAACCCGGUUGUAACAAUCGCAGAGGUGCUCCCUUUAUGCCCUAGCCGAACAAUCGGGAACGUAGGGUAUAAGCACAUGAGCAAGGCAACCCGGCUUGGCAAAAACUUAAGUCAUAGAGGUGCAUAUAAUGAAAAAAGGAUGUAUAUCCACAAACGACACAUAUAUUGUGAGCUCUAGGCUUGGGAUAAUAAUAAGCUUGUAUUUACAGAAGCCCCUUGUCAUGGUGGGGUUUGUACAUUAAGGAUGUGUACCCCUCGAGUGUUCGGCUUAUCUGAACACAUCAUGGAAAUCGUACAAAAACGAGAAAGUGAAAAACAGAUGGAGAGAAAAAAAGAAAAAGAGGACGAAAAGAAGUAUGGACGAACUUAUGCGUAGAAUCUUCGGAGCCGAGCAACAUUCCACGGGUUCGGCUCUAAGCGAUUAUCCGAUGCAUUGCGAAGGCGGUAGGCUCGUCCAGUGAGAACUUCAUCUAUAAUGAAGGGACCUUCCCAUUUUGGUUUGAGCUUGUCCUUUUUCUUCUCUGGGAGGCGUAAAACGAGCUCACCGACAUUAUAAGUCUUUGCCUGCACUUCUUUGCUUUGGUAUCGCCGAGCUUGUUGUUGGUAGAAUGCGGAACGGGCUUUUGCAACAUCGCGCUCCCCCUCCAGGCCAUCCAGGUCAUCCUGCCGAUCGAGCUCUACUUCUCUCUCUUCAUACAUGCACACUCGAGGUGAGUCAUGAAUAAUGUCGCAGGUCAAGACAACCUCUGCACCGUACACCAUGAAGAAAGGUGUGUAUCCAGUCGUGCGAUUGGGCGUGGUCCGCAGCCCCCAGAGUAUGGAAUCGAGUUCCUCAACCCAGUGUUUAUCUGACUCCCUUAGGGAUCGCACUAGUCUGGGUUUGAUGCCACUCAUUAUCAGGCCAUUAGCCCAUUCGACCUGACCGUUUGUUUGAGGGUGAUAUACUGAGGCGUAAUCGAGCUUAAUGCCCAGAUUAGCACACCAAAUUUUCACCUCAUCUGCUGUGAAGUUGAGCCAUUGUUAGUGAUAAUGUUGUGUAGGACACCAUAACGGUGUGCAACGCCGGAUAUAAAGUCGAUCACCGGCCCAGCUUCAGCUGUUUUUACUGGUUUGACCUCUAUCCACUUAGUGAAUUUAUCCACCAUGACCAGCAGAUAUUUCUUCUUAUGGCUUCCCCCUUUAAGGGGUCUAACCAUAUCUAGCUCCCAGACCGCAAAGGCCAGGUAAUGGGAAUUAUUUUUAGGGCGAUGGGCGGCAUAUGACUUUGAUUGGCGAGCAGCUGCCACCCAACAUAGCGCUGUACGAGUGCCUAUGCAUUUGCUCGUGCUGCGGGCCAAAAGAAACCUGUAUGGAAGACCUUCUUAUGAGGGCCCGAGCUGCGGCAUGAUGGCCACCGAGGCCAGCAUGUAUUUCGGCCGAGAGCUGCCUACCCUCCUCUUCAGAGAUACAUCUUUGAAGUACUCCGGUAGUACUUUUCUUGUAGAGUUCUCCUUCAUGAACUUUGUAGGUUUUUGAGUGUCGAACAAUGCGACGUGCCUCAUUCUGGUCAUCAGGGUGCUCCCGCCUAUUAAGGUAGGCCAGGAAAGGUUCAGACCAUGGAGCGAUUACAACCAUGAUCGCCUGGGCGAAAGGUGUCAUUUCGGUACCCGAGCCCCCUAUUGGGGAACGUUGCAGAAAACAAAAAAAUUCCUACGGUUUCACCAAGAUCCAUCUAGGAGUUCAUCUAGCAACGAGUGAUUGGAUUGCAUCUACAUAACUUUGUAGAUCAUGUGCGGAAGCGUUCAAAGAACGGGGAUGAGGAAGUCGUACUCGAAGUGAUCCAAAUCACCGGAGAUCCUAGCGCGGAACGGACGGCACCUCCGUGUUCAACACACGUACAGUCAGCGUAACGUCUCCUCCUUCUUGAUCCAGCAAGGGGGAAGGAGAGGUUGAGGAAGAUGGCUCCAGCAGUAGCACGGCGGCGUGGUGGUGAUGGAGCUCCAGUACUCCGGCAGGGCUUCGCCAAGCUCUAUGGAGGAGGAGGAGGUGUUGGGGAGGGAGAGGGAGGCACCAAAGGCCAAGGUAAGAGGUCCUCCAUCCCCCCCACUAUAUAUAGGGGGGCCUAGGGGGGGGCGGCGUCCCUAGGAGAUGCAAUCUCCUAGGGGGGCGGCGGCCAAGGGGUGGGGGGCUUGCCCCCCAAGCAAGGGGGCGCCCCCCCUUUAGGGUUUCCCCCACCCUAGGCGCAUGGGCCCUAGGGGAAGUGGCGCCCCAGCCCACUUUGGGCUGGAUCCCUUCCCACUUCAGCCCAUGGGGCCCUCCGAGAUAGGUGGCCCCACCCGGUGGACCCCCGGGACCUUUCCGGUGGUCCCGGUACAAUACCGGUGACCCCGAAACUUGUCCCGACGGCCGAAAUAGCACUUCCUAUAUAUAAUUCUUUACCUCCGGACCAUUCUGGAACUCCUCGUGACGUCCGGGAUCUCAUCCGGGACUCCGAACAACGUUCGGGUUACUGCAUAUACAUAUCCCUACAACCCUAGCGUCACCGAACCUUAAGUGUGUAGACCCUACGAUUUUGGGAGACAUGUAGACAUGACCGAGAUCGCUCUCCGGUCAAUAACCAACAGCGGGAUCUGGAUACCCAUGUUGGCUCCCACAUGCUCCUCGAUGAUCUCAUCGGAUGAACCACGAUGUCGAGGAUUCAAGCAACCCCGUAUACAAUUCCCUUCGUCAAACGGUAUGUUACUUGCCCGAGAUUUGAUCGUCGGUAUCCCAAUACCUCGUUCAAUCUCGUUACCGGCAAGUCACUUUACUCGUACCGUAAUGCAUGAUCCCGUGACCAGACACUUGGUCACUUUGAGCUCAUUAUGAUGAUGCAUUACCGAGUGGGCCUAGUGAUACCUCUCCGUCAUACGGAGUGACAAAUCCCAGUCUUGAUCCGUGUCAACCCAACAGACACUUUCGGAGAUACCCGUAGUAUACCUUUAUAGUCACCCAGUUACGUUGUGACGUUUGGUACACCCAAAGCACUCCUACGGUAUCCGGGAGUUACACGAUCUCAUGGUCUAAGGAAAAGAUACUUGACAUUGGAAAACUCUAACAAACGAACUAUACGAUCUUGUGCUAUGUUUAGGAUUGGGUCUUGUCCAUCACAUCAUUCUCCUAAUGAUGUGAUCUCGUUAUCAAUGACAUCCAAUGUCCAUAGUCAGGAAACCAUGACUAUCUGUUGAUCAACGAGCUAGUCAACUAGAGGCUUACUAGGGACAUGUUGGUGUCUAUUACUCAUACAUGUAUUACGAUUUCCGGAUAACACAAUUAUAGCAUGAAUAAAGACAAUUAUCAUGAACAAGGAAAUAUAAUAAUAAUGCUUUUAUUAUUGCCUCUAGGGCAUAUUUCCAACACCCCCGACGAUAUCAGAAUUGAGUUCGGCGUCUGGGGGUGUGAUCGGCUCCGGGCUGGUACUGCCGCUCUUCUCCUGCCAUACCACGGAUGGCUUAAAAAGCAUUUCCACAAAAGUGUUAGGUGGGACAGGGUCACGUUUGGCGCCCAUUCGAGCAAGGAUGUCUGUUGGUUGAUUGCUGUCUCGAGCCAUAUGGUGAAACUCGAGCCCCUCAAACCAAGCUGAUAUUUUAAGUACGGAGUUGCGGUAGGCCACCAUCUUUGGAUCUUUUGCAUUGAAUUCUCCAUUUAUUUGGGAUAUUGGGAGGUUCGAAUCCCCACCCACCCCGAGGCGUUGUAUGCCCAUAGAAACAGCCACCUGGAGGCCAUGCAGUACUGCCUUGUAUUCGGCUGCGUUAUUGGAGUCCGAAUACAUGAUUUGUAGUACAUAACGGACUGUGUCCCCUCUAGGGGAUGUUAGGAUGACACCAGCCCCCAAUCCGGCUAGCAUUUUAGAGCCGUUGAAGUACAUUACCAAGUUGGAGUAUGUGCUGUACUCUUUAGGGAGUUCGACUUCUGCCCAUUCGGCGACAAAAUUGGCCAACACCUGAGAUUUAAUAGCUCGGUGUGGCUUGUAUGUUAUUUCGAAUGGUAAGAGCUUGAUAGCCCACUUGGCAAUGCGACCGGUGGCAUCCCGAUUGUUUAUGCUAUCAUUGAGUGGUACUUUGGAAGCCACCAUGAUCGAACACUCUUGAAAGUAGUGCUGCAGCUUCCGAGAUGCCAUAAAGACCACAUAUGCUAUCUUUUGAUAGUGUGGAUAUCAGGAUUUGCAUGGUGUAAGGACCGCCGAAACAUAGUAUACUGGUUUUGGAGUGGGAAUUUAUGUCCCUCUUCUUCUCAUUCGACGACGAGCACAACGCUCACCACCUGGUGAGUUGCAGAUAUGUAGAGCAACAUGGGUUCAUCGAUGUUUGGUGCGGCAAUGAUGGGGUUACUUGCUAACAAAGUUUUUAUUUCUUCCAAUCUGGCUGUUGCCGCAUCCAUCCACUCAAAGUGGACGGUACGUUGGAGUAGGCGAUAAAGUGGCAGUGCCUUUUCUCCCAAUCUGGAGAUAAAGCGGCUCAAAGCUGCCAUGCACCUAGCUAGUUUCUGGACCUGCUUUAGGUCUGUUGGCAUUGCCAAUUGCGACAGGGAUCGGAUUAUGGCUGGAUUUGCUUCGAUUCCUCUACUGGAAACAAUGAACCCGAGCAGCUUUUCGACCUAAAUGCCGAAAACACAUUUUUCCGGAUUGAGCCGUAUGUCAUAUGUUCAGAGGUUGUUGAAUGUAAGGCAUAAGUCAUUCACUAAUGAUUCGACGUGUUUAGUUUUGAUGACUACAUCAUCUACGUAUGCCUCCACUGUUUUGCCGAUUUGCUUUUCUAGGCAUGUUUGAAUCAUGCAUUGGUAAGUGGCUCCGGCAUUUUUGAGUUCGAAAGGCAUAGUGUUGAAGCAGAAAGGCCCAUACAAAGUAAUGAAUGCCAUUGCAACCUGAUCGGAUUCCUUCAUCUUAAUUUGAUGGUAUCCGGAAUAUGCAUCGAGGAAACAUAGUGAAUCGUGUCCUGCGGUCGCGUCAAUGAUUUGGUCAAUACGGGGCAGUGGGAAGGGGUCCUUAGGGCAGGCUUUGUUGAGGUCUUUGAAAUCGACACAAAGGCGCCAAGAUUUGUCCUUCUUUGGCACCAUGACCAGGUUUUCUAGGCAGUCCCGGUGUUUGAUCUCUCUGAUGAACCUGACUUCAAGUAGUUUGGCUAGCUCCUCACCCAUAGCUUGCCAUUUAGGUUCAGAAAAUCGCCGCAACAUUUGCUUGACUGGCUUGAACCCCUUUAUUAUGUUGAGGCUAUGUUCAACUAGUCUGCGUGGAAUUCCUAGCAUAUCCGAAGGAUUCCAGGCAAAAAUGUCCCAAUUCUCGUGCAGGAACGCUCUUAGAGCGGCAUCAAUCAUUGGAUCCAGCUGUGCUCCAAUGGCAGCUGUUUUGUUAGGAUCCGUUGGGUGCACUUGUAAUUUAACCAUUUCGUCUGCUGGUUUGAAAGAAGUGGACUUGGGCCUCUUAUCAAGGAUUACAUCAUCUUUGUCCACUGUAGAACGCAGAGUGGUCAACACCUCGGCCGCGAGGGCCUCAGAUAGUGCCUCGAGGGCCAAGGAUGCGGUUCUGUUUUCGGCGUGGAGUGCUAUAUCCAGAUCACUAGUCAUAGUGAUAACUCCAUUGGGCCCUGGCAUUUUGAGCUUCACGUACCCGUAAUGGGGUAUAGCUUGAAAGUGUGUGAAUGCGUCUCGCCCCAACAGGGCGUGAUAUCCGCUAUUGAAAGGUGCCACAUGGAAGAGCAACUCUUCGGACCUGUAGUUCUCCGGCGUGGCAAACACCACAUCAAGCUUAAUUUUCCCCGAGCUUCGUGCUUCUCAACUGGGGAUAAUGCCUUGAAAGGUGGUGUAGCUUUGCUCAAUGUGACUCUUGUCCAUUUGCAUUUUUUGGAGCGUAUCCUCGUAAAUGAGGUUCAGUCCACUGCCGCCAUCCAUGAGCACCUUGGUGAGCCUGAAGCCAUUCACAGUUGGGUUUAAGACCAAGGCGGCAGGUGCUCGGACUGAUCUGGCCCUUGGUUCGUGUCACGCCCAAUAUGCGAUCCUAUCUGAGAGAAACUCUAAGGUCCCACCAAGGAUAGAGCCGCAUAUUGAAACACUUUUGCAAGGUGGAUAUCAUUACAUCGUAGCAUUACAUAAUAGAUGGGGAUACAUACAAAGGGCAUACAAAUGCCACAAUAAUACAUCAAACAUCAUACAUGAGAACAACAUCCGACUACAGAUGAAACACAAACAGAAACUAAAACGACAUCCACCCUGCUAGCCCAGGCUGCUGACCAGGAACCUAUCCCCUGAAUGAAGGAGAAGCAGAAGAACUCCAAACAAGUAAACACCACUCUCAUGUCAUGAUCAUCGCAUUACCUGUACCUGCAACUGUUUUUGUAGUAAUCUGUGAGCCAAGAGGACUCAGCAAUCCCAUUACCAUGGGUAUCAAGACUAGCAAAGCUUAAUGGGUAUGGAAUGGAUAAGUGGUGAGGUUGCAGCAAAUGACUAAGCAUUGUAUGGUGGCCAACUUACGAGUACAAGAGUAAGAUAAGAAACUGCGCAAACGGUCGCAAACUAGUAAUGAUCAAGAAGUGAUCCUGAACUACUUACGUUCAAACAUAACCCCACCGCGUUCUCUUCUCGACUCACUCGAAAAGAGACCGUCACAGUUAAGCACGCGGUUGGUGUAUUUUAUUUCGGGUCUGGUGUCAAGUUCUCUACAACCGGAUAUUAAAAAUUCCCAUCUACCACAUAACCGCAGGCACGACUCUUGAAAGUUUAAACCCUGCAGGGGUGUCCCAACUUAGCCCAUGAAAAGCUCACGAUCCGCGGAGACAAUCCUCCAUCUCGGGACCCUCAGAUCAGACUCGGAAUCCCGGUGCACAAGACAUUUCGACAAUGGUAAAACAAGUCUAGCAAGACCUCCCGACGUGCCGACACCCUGAUAAUAGCUGCGUGUAUCUUGUCUUAGACCAUGAUCGGAUGGGUCAAGCUACGAGUAAAAACAGCCCUCGAGUUUCCCCGAGGUGGCCCCGCAGGCUGCCCGUUUGGGACCAACACCAUCAGCACUGGCCCCCUGUUUAUGUAGAAAGAAUCCUCGGGUUCAUGGCACCCUAUGCCAAUUAAUUAUUUAGUUCAAUAUUAUUAUGGCAAAUGUUAAAACCAAAGUUGGGCCUUGCUGGAAGAGUUUUAUUCAAAGCGAAUUGUCAAGAGGGGCCCAUAAACCCUCAUCGUGUUAGGGAUGCAAAAUCAAGGAACAUGACACCGGUAUGAUGGAAACUAGGGCGGCAAGAGUGGAACAAAACACCAGGCAAAAGGCCGAGCCUUCCACCCUUUACCAAGUAUAAGAGAUAUUGUGAUACCCCAUGAUAUCCAUGUCCCAACAUGGAACAACCUACAACUGUACAUGCAACUAGCAACACUAUAAGAGAGGCUGAGCAAAGCGGUAACAUAGCCAAACAACGGUUUGCUAGGAUGGUGGAAAAAGGUUAGAGGCUAUCAUGGCAAUUUGGAAGGCUUGAUGAACAAGUGGUAGGUGGCGCGACAUAGCGAUAACACCGAGACAACUAGCAUAGAAAAGAUAGUAGUGAGAUCCAGGGUAAUGGUCAUCUUGCCUGAAAUCCCGCUAGGAAGAAGAAUGAGUCCAUGAAGAAGACGAUCCCACGUAGUCGAACGAAUCCUCACAAUUGCAAUGAAACAACAUGGUAAACACACAACACAUAGACAUGACAUGAUGCUCCACCAAGUAUGAUGCAUGAAAAGUCUAAAUGAUGCUACUCAUGGCAAGUUUAAAUGCGACCGGAAACUACACAUAACACUUCCGGUAAGUCCUCAUAAGCAAAUUACGAAAUUGGUCCAGAUCUGACUAACACAUUAUGUUAAAGUUGUUAACCAUCAAUUUAAAGUGCACCAACAUGAUCUACAUGGUUUUCUAGUCAAGUUACAUAUAAAGUUUGUUUAAUUCGGAGCUACGGCCUAGAAGAUAUGAGCAAAACAAGUUAAACAUGGCAUUAAUGCAAAAUGCAUUCAAACAUCAAGCACACAUGCUCAAACCAAGUAUGCAACAAGGCAAGAUGAAACUACAUGCAAAACCAAGCAAGUUUCAUGUAGAUCAUGCUCAAAACGGAGCAACGGUUCAAUACAUACACUCAAUACAGGUUCAAGCACAAUCUGCCCAAAACAACAACUAAGCACUUUGCAACCAAGGAAACAACAUGCUACAGGAAACAUAGGGACACAAACUUGAUAUGCACUUAAAUUAAAGAUUACAUGCUUCAAUUAUCAUCAAGGUUCAGGUUCAUGGGCAUCAAGAUUAAUCCAACAUGAGAAAAGCAAAAGACAUAUUUAUAACACAGAUUAUGACUUAGUGAAAAACAGGCAUAAACAUGAGCAAGAAUAACAUGUUGACAUGUUGGAGGCAUGAAGCAAACAUGCUACAAUGCAAUAUCAUGGCAACCAAAAGCAUGACAUUCCAGUACAUGUUAUACAUGGAAAAACAUGAUUACUAAGCAUCUCCAUAUAACAUCUAGAUCAAUGGCAUGCAUCAAGACAAGAUUGCAAGUCAUAACAGAUUCUCAGACUUAGUGAAAAAUAGAGUAAGGCUGAAAACAGAUUCAUGAUGCAUACUUUGAGACAACAAAAGUAUAUUCUACAGGAACAUUUCAUGGCAUCAAAGGGCAUGGCAAGCAUGUACAUGUAGAGCACUACAAAACAUGAACAUUGAGCUACUGCUUGAAACCACUAGAACAUGCUCAAAACAUCAUUGAAAGAAUGCAAAUGAUAACAGAUUCACAGACUUAGUGGAAUUUAGUGAACAUGGCAGGAACAACGACAAGUAGACAUGUUUGCAAGCUUGGUUAACUCAACAUAAAGCAUAUCAUGGCAAGUGAAUGUAACCAACAGAAAGAAGGAAUAUUUGUGCAGCUACUCAUGGUAAGAACAUGGUCAUAGGAUCCAUAUAUCACUAGCUAUUCACAUGGCAAGAAUGAACUUACUGUUAACAGAUUGACAACAACAUUAUUUAGCAACUUUAGAGCAUGGUAAUGACAAGCUACAACAUGCCAUAAUUGCAAACAAGGACAUGUAUGGAUAGAGCAUAACAAGAUCUAGAAAACAUCCUUACUAAGCAUCUCCAGAUUAUGCAUGGAUUAACUUAUAGCAUCAAGUUAACAUGGCAACAUAAUAUAGCAGGUUCGGACUUAGCACAAAACACUAAGUCUCUGAAAUCAGCAAUAGCAAGUACCCUACUUUCCAUGCUUGUGCUAGUCACCACAGGGCACAUAAAAAUACAUGGAUUGCAAUGCUACCUCUUGAGCACUGCGUUGGUUUUCCCUUGAAGAGGAAAGGGUGAUGUAGCAAAGUAGCGUAAGUAUUUCCCUCAGUUUUUGAGAACCAAGGUAUCAAUCCAGUAGGAGACUAAAGGCAAGUCCCUUGUACCUACACAAACAAAUAAGAUCCUCGCAACCAACGUGAUAAAGGGGUUGUCAAUCCCUUCACGGUCACUUACGAGAGUGAGAUCUGAUAGAGAUAAUAAGAUAAAUAUUUUUGGUAUUUUUAUGAUAUAGAUUGGAAAAUAAAGAUUGCAAAAUAAAAUAGAUUGGAAACUUGUAUAUGAUAAAAGAUAGACCCGGGGGCCAUAGGUUUCACUAGUGGCUUCUCUCAAGAUAGCAUAAGUAUUAUGGUGGGUGAACAAAUUACUGUCGAGCAAUUGAUAGAUAAGUGAAUAAUUAUGAGGAUAUCUAGGCAUGAUCAUGUAUAUAGGCAUCACAUCUACGACAAGUAGUCCGAAACGAUUCUACAUCUACUACUAUUACUCCACACAUCGACCGCUAUCCAUCAUGCAUGUAGAGUAUUAAGUUUAUAAGAACGAAGUAAUGCAUUAGGCAAGAUGACAUGAUGUAGAGGGAUAAACUCAAGCAAUAUGAUAUAAACCCCAUCUUUUUAUCCUCGACGGCAACAAUACAAUACGUGCCUUGUUGCCCCUGCUGUCACUGGGAAAGGACACCGCAAGAUUGAACCCAAAGCUAAGCACUUCUCCCAUUGCAAGAAAGAUCAAUCUAGUAGGCCAAACAAAACUGAUAAUUCGAAGAGACUUGCAAAGAUAACCAAUCAUACAUAAAAGAUUUCAGAGAAGAAUCAAAUAUUGUUCAUAGAUAAACUUCAUCAUAAACCCACAAUUCAUCGGAUCUCGACAAACACACCGCAAAAAGAGUUACAUCAAAUAGAUCUCCAAGAAGAUUGAGGAGAACAUUGUAUUGAGAUCCAAAGAGAGAGAAGAAGCCAUCUAGCUAAUAACUAUGGACCCGAAGGUCUAUGGUAAACUACACACACAUCAUCAGAGAGGCUAUGGUGUUGAUGUAGAAGCCCUCCAUGAUCGAUUCCCCCUCAGGUGGAGCUCCGGAAAAGGCCCCAAGAUGGGAUCUCUUGGGUACAGAAGGUUGCGGCGGUGGAAAUAGGGUUUCAUGGUGCUCCUUGAUGUUUUUGGGGUAUAUGGACAUAUAUAGGAGGAAGAAGUAGGUCGGUGGAGCUACAAGGGGCCCACGAGGGUAGGGGGCGCGCCCAGGGGGGCAGGCGCGCCUCCCUACCUCGUGGCCUCCUCGUUGAUUUCUUGAUGUCUACUCCAAGUCCCGUGGAUCACGUUUGUUCCAAAAAUAACUCUCCCGAAGGUUUCAUUCCGUUUGGAUUCCGUUUGAUAUUCCUUUUCUGCGAAACACUGAAAUAGGCAAAAAACAACAAUUUGCACUGGGCAUUGGGUUAGUAGGUUAGUCCCAAAAAUAAUAUAAAAGCGUAUAAUAAAGCCCAUUAAACAUCCAAAACAGAUAAUAUAAUAUCAUGGAGCAAUCAAAAAUUAUAGAUACGUUGGAGACGUAUCAAGCAUCCCCAAGCUUAAUUCCAGCUCGUCCUCGAGUAGGUAAAUGAUAAAAAUAGAAUUUUUGAUGUGGAAUGCUACCUAGCAUAAUUCUCAAUGUAAUUUUAUUUAGGGAUUUUUGUUUUUUCGCCACAACUUUCUUUGGGCUUUGACAAUUUGCCACCGGAUACAUUGUAAUUGAUCAAUUGCCACUGGUUACAGGGAACUUUGCUAUUUUGCCCUCCGUCGGAUGGGUCCCAUAAGAAAUGUCUAAAGCACCCCUCCCCUUGACCAAAAACUGGAGAACAACACUCGGUUGCUCGCCCUCAUUCCCCUUUUCCUCUCGCCCGCCAAAACUCAACAGACGGCGGCAACGGCGACUGCACUCGGUGCUUCUGGCGGCGGCUGGAUCUCGGCCAGGAAGGCGAGGCCCUCUCUCACGCCCCCUCUCUCCCGAGUGCACAGGAGGAACGCUGCCACCGCUGCUUCUUGUGCUGCUGCUGCCACCGCUGCUGUGUGCAUAUGCUUGAGCGCCGCUGCUGAUGGUGAUGCAUACUUGUGUUGCUGCUGCUGUUGUUUCUAUUUUAUUACUACUAGAGUUUCUUGCUGCUGGAGAUCUCAUGGUGGUUUGAUUGAUUGUUGAUGAUAGACUACAAAUUUAAGAUGAGCUAGGAUGCUAAUCAAACUAGAUAAUGAAAACCUUAUACGAGUUCUCCUGCUCAGCAUCGCCACCCUUCAGGCAGAUGUGAUUAUUCCUUCUAUACUCACUAAUUUGGCCCUUUAUAAACAUGCCAAGCUCCAUACAUUUGGCUUGGGGAAAUAACUUGUUAUGUUGGAAUCAACCUAUCAGCUUAACCACCAGUACUUUUAACUAAUAUGACCAGCCAUGCAGGGGCGACGGAAGGGCAGCAAGGGCCUGCAAGGAGCAGCAGGACAGCGGCAGCUGUGUUAUGAGCAGAAGCUUAGUUCAUCCCUCCAUUUGGGUUGAGGUUGUGUUAUGUUUGGGUCAAACAGGUACAAGGGUACAAUGGUCAUAUAUUUUGUUCACUUGUGUUGUUUAGUAUUUCUAAAGUUUGUUUUUGUGUUGAAAAGUGGCAAAAGAUCAAAUUCCAAAGAAAAGAGUGUCAUCUGGUCAAUUACAAAGUAAGGAGUGGCAUAUUUUCAAAGUUCAAAGAAAGAGGUGGCAAAUAAUCAAAUCCCCCUUUUAUUUAUUGUGGCAUGAAUAUUCAAAUCCGAAAGACUCAAGACAAAAGUUUAAUAUUGACAUAAAAACAUUAAUACUUCAAGCAUACUAACUAAGCAAUCAUGUCUUCUCAAAAUAACAUGGCAAAAGAAAGUUCAUCCCUACAAAAUCAUUUAGUUUGGUCAUGCUCCAUUUUUGUCACACAAGAAUGCUCUCAUCUUGCACAACCCCGAUGACAAGCCAAGCAAUUUUUUCAUACUUUAGUAAUCUCAAACUUUUUUCAACUUUCACGCAAUACAUGAGCAUGAGCCAUGGAUAUAGCACUAUGGGUGGAAUAGAAUAAUAUGAUGGGGGUUAUGUGGAGAAGACAAAAAGGAGAAAGUCUCACAUUGACGCCACUAAUCAAUGGUCUAGGGAGAUGCCCAUCAAUUGAUGUCAAUGCAAGGAGUAGGGAUUGCCAUGCAACGGAUGCACUAGAGCUCUAGAUGUAUGAAAGCUCAACAAAAGAAACUAAGUGGGUGUGCAUCCAACUUGCUUGCUCACAAAUACCUAGGGCAUUUGAGGAAGCCCAUUGUUGGAAUAUACAAGCCAAGUUCUAUAGUGAAAAAUUCCCACUAGUAUAUGAAAGUGACAAAACAAGAGACUCUCUAUCAUAAAGAUCAUGGUGCUACUUUGAAGCACAAGUGUGGAAAAAGAGGAUAGUAGCAUUGUCCCUUUUUAUUUAUUUUCCCCUUUUUUUGGGCCUUUCUUUUUUUAUUUGGCCUUUCUCUUUUUUUAUUUGGGAUAAUGCUCUAUUAAUGAUGAUCAUCACACUUCUAUUUAUUUACAACUCAAUGAUUACAACUCGAUACUAGAACAAAAUAUGACUCUAUAUGAAUGCCUCCGGCGGUGUACCGGGAAUGGCAAUGAAUCAAGAGUGACAUGUAUGAUAAAUUAUGCAUGGUGUCUUUGCCACAAAUAUGAUGUCAACUACAUGAUCAUGCAAAGCAAUACGACAAUGAUGAAGCGUGUCAUAAAUGAAAUGGUAGAAAGUUGCAUGGCAAUAUAUCUCGGAAUGGCUAUGGAAAUGCCAUAAUAGGUAGGUAUGGUGUCUGUUUUGAGGAAGAUAUAAGGAGGUUUAUGUGUGAUAGAGCGUAUCAUAUCACGAGGUUUGGAUGCACCGGCGAAGUUUGCACCAAUUCUCAAGGUGAGAAAGGGCAAUGCACGGUACCGAAGAGGCUAGCAAUGAUGGAAGGGUGAGAGUGCGUAUAAUCCAUGGACUCAACAUUAGUCAUAAAGAACUCACAUACUUAUUGCAAAAAUCUACAAGUCAUAAAAAACCAAGCAAUACGCGCAUGCUCCUAGGGGAUAGAUUGGUAGGAAAAGACCAUCGCUCGUCCCCGACCGCCACUCAUAAGGAAGACAAUCAAAGAACACAUCAUGUUUCAAAUUUGUUACACAACGGUUACCAUACGUGCAUGCUACGGGGCUUGCAAUCUUCAACACAAGUAUUUCUCAAAUUCACAACUACUCAACUAGCACAACUUUAAUAUCACCAUCCUCAUAUCUCAAAAUAAUUAUCAAGCAUCCAACUUCUCAUAGUAUUCAACGCACUUUUUAUGCAAGUUUUUAUUAUACCAAUCUUGGAUGCCUAUCACAUUAGGACUACUUUUAUAACCAAAGCAAAUUACCAUGAUGUUCUAAAGGACUCUCAAAAUAAUAUAAGUGAAUCAUGAGAGAUCAAUAAUUUCUAUAAAAUAAAACCACUACCGUGCUCUAAAAGAUAUAAGUGAAGCACUAGAGCAAAAUUAUCUAGCUCAAAAGAUAUAAGUGAAGCACAUAGAGUAUUCUAAUAAAUUCCAAUUCAUGUGUGUCUCUCAAAAAAGGUGUGUACAGCAAGGAUGAUUGUGGUAAACUAAAAAUCAAAGACUCGAAUCAUACAAGACGCUCCAAACAAAACACAUAUUAUGUGGUGAAUAAAAAUAUAGCCUCAAGUAAAGUUACCGAUGGAAGAAGACGAAAGAGGGGAUGCCUUCCGGGGCAUCCACAAGUUUAGGCUUUUGGUUUUCCUUGAAUUUUACCUUGGGGUUCCUUGGGCAUCCCCAAGCUUAGGCUCUUGCCACUCCUUAUUCCAUAACCCAUCAAAUCUUGACCCAAAAAUUGAAAACUUCACAACACAAAACUCAACAGAAAAUCUCAUAAACUCCGUUAGUAUAAGAAAACAAACCACCUCUUAAGGUACUAUAAUGAAAUCAUUCUUUAUUUAUAUUGGUGUUAAAACUACUGUAUUCCAACUUCUCUAUGGUUCAUACUCUCCGAUACGAGCCAUAGAUUCAUCAAAAUAAGCAAACAACACACGAAAAACAGAAUCUGUCAAAAACAGAAUAUUCUGUAGUACUCUGUAGUUUUCGAAUACUUAUGUAACCACAAAAAUUAUGAAAUAAAUUUGUGGACGUGAGGAAUUUGUCUAUUAAUCAUCUUAAAAAAUAAUCAACCUAAUCGCACUCUCAAGUAAAAAAUGGCAGCAAAUCUCGUGAGCGCUAAAGUUUCUGUUUUUACAGCAAGAUCACUAAAACUCCCCCCAAGCCUUCCCAAAGGUUCUACUUGGCACAAACACUAAUUAAAAGCAUAAAACCACAUAUAAACAGUGGCUAGAUGAAUUAUUUAUUACUAAACAGAACCAAAAAUCAAAAAACAAAAAUAAAAUUGUGUUGCCUCCCAACAAGCGCUAUCGUUUAACGCCCCUAGCUAGGCAUAAAAGCAAGAAUAGAUCUAGGUAUUAUCAUCUUUGGUACGCAAUUCAUAGGUAGCUCUCAUAAUAGAUUUCAUAAGGUAAUUUAAUUUUCUUCCUAGGAAAGUGUUCCAUGCCUUUCCUUAACUGAAAUUGGAAAUAUUCCCUUCUUUCAUAUCAAUAAUUGCACCAAUCGUUCUAAGGAAAGGUCUAGCAAGAAUAAUGGGACAUGUAGGAUUGCAAUCAAUGUCAAGAACAAUGAAAUCUACGGUCACAUAAUUCCUAUUUUCAACAAUAAUAACAUCAUUAAUCCUUCCUGUCGGUGUCAAAACCGGCAGAUCUCGGGUAGAGGGUCCCGAACUAUGCGUCUAAGGCGGAUGGUAACACGAGGCAGGGGACACGAUGUUUUACCCAGGUUUGGGCCCUCUUGAUGGAGGUAAAACCCGACGUCCUACUUGAUUUAUUCUUGAUGAUAUGAGUAUUACAAGAGUUGAUCUACCACGAGAUCGGAGAGGCUAAACCCUAAAAGCUAGCCUAUGGUAUGAUUGUAUGUUAUUCUACGGACUAAAACCCUCCGGUUUAGAUAGACACGGGAAAAGGCUAGGGUUACACAAGGUCGGUUACAAAGGAGGAGAUAUACAUAUCCGUAUUGCCUAGCUUGCCUUCCACGCCAAGUAGAGUCCCAUCCGGACACGAGACGAAGUCUUCAAUCUUGUAUCUUCAUAGUCUAACAGUCCGCCAAAGGAUAUAGUCCGGCUGUCCGGAGACCCCCUAAUCCAGGACUCCCUCAGUAGCCCCUGAACCAGACUUCAAUGCCGAUGAGUCCGGCGCGCAGUAUUGUCUUCGACAUUGCAAGGCGGGUUCCUCCUCCGAAUACACCAUAGAAGAAUUUGAAUACAAGGAUAGUGUCCGACCCUGCAAAAUAAGUUCCACAUACCACCGUAGAGAGAAUAAUAUUUCCACAAAUCUAAUUUGCUGACUUAUUUUGGCAACACGACAUUAUGCCAUGGCCCGGUGAUUAUUCGAACCGUUUCCUUUAACUCACCCCGCACAUAACACGAGGCAGUUUUUUGACACGUCUUGUCAAAGCAGAGAUCGUGUCCCCCUUAUUACGGGAUUCUCAUCAAUACGGGCGUGGGUGACCCAACCGCGCCAUCGAUUACGGUGCUUGGGGGAUAAGCGAGUUUUACCAGGCUAGUGGGGGCGCAUAGUUUCGGCCGCCCUUAUAAAGGGACAAGGUUUAACCUUUUUCUACCCACGCCUUCUUCCUCCUUGCUCAUCCUCUCUUGCGCACUCGAGCUCCAACGCCCAAGCCUACAUCCUUCCCCUCAACCUUCUCCAAUCAUGUCCGGAGCGGGAGGCAAAUGGAUGGCUUCCUCUGUUACGGAGGGACACAUCAAGAAGCUGCGCGGGGCCGGAUACUUGGCCGCGAACAUCACGCAUCGGCUGCCCGCUGCGGGGCAGAUCGUUCCUACCCCUGAACCUCACGAGAGGGUAGUCUUCCUCCACCACUUCCUCCGUGGACUGGGAUUUCCCCUCCAUCCAUUCGUCCGUGGUCUCAUGUUCUACUACGGUCUGGACUUCCAUGAUCUAGCCCCAAACUUCGUCCUCAAUAUUUUGGCAUUCAUCGUCAUGUGUGAGGCUUUCCUCCGCAUCCGGCCCCACUUCGGCCUGUGGCUAAAGACCUUUAAUAUCAAGCCGAACGUGGUGGGCGGCCAACAAGCAGAAUGUGGCGGAGCCAUGGUGGGCAAGAUGCCCAACAUUAUAUGGCUUGAAGGCUCCUUCGUGGAGACCAUAAAGGGGUGGCAAUCAGUGUGGUUCUACAUCACCGAGCCGCACAACGCCAAAUGGGUGGCCGCCCCCAAGUUUCAAUCCGGAAUCCCCAUGUGGCUCACUUCCUGGAAAGAGAAGGGCCUGUCCUGGGGUCCAUCGGUGGAGCUGGACGGACUCCAGAAAUGUAUCCAGAAUAUGGAAGGCAAGAAGCUUAAGCUUGUCAACAUAGUCCAGGUCAUGCUCAUCCGCCGGAUCCUCCCGUGCCAACAACGGACUUCAACUUGUGGGAGUUCGACCCGGCCCAUCACCAGACUCUAAGCGAGCUCUUCGACACGACGCAUAAGGACAUCUGGAAGGUGCUGUUCAAGGGUGCCGAGGUCCCUCCCUCCCUCACCGAGGACCGCGGGCUAAGCGCGAAGCGCCGAGCGCAUUCGGUGAGUUCUAUACAUCCGGUAGGAUAUUUUAUUUCCCCUAGCUUAAUCAUGUGCGGGGUCUGAUCUCCAUGCCUUUGAUAGGACUGGAUGGAGACGUCGGGGUAGAUUAACUGUCCGGCCCCUCUGCCCGAAGAUACUGCGGACGCUCUCCUUACGGAGAUGCUGACUCCGACCCCUUAUAAGGUGCCGGAGAAGACCAAGAAGGCCAAGGGAACCUGAAAGAGUCCCCGAUGCCAGGUGUUAUCGGACUCAUCGUUGGAUAACUCUGCGACACACUCCUCCCCGAAGACAAGGAGGAAGAAGAAGAUGCUCCCCCUUCAGUUGGGGGAGACAAGAAAAGGAAGGCCGCCCCAUCCGGGGGGGCCGAAGGGUCCAAGAAGGGAAGGACCCUCCUUCCGGACUACUCCACCACCGUCGCCGAAGGCGAAGACGAGUGGCUGCUCAGGGCCAAGCCCCUGGCGAAGUCAUAAGUAUCCGGAUGCCAGAGUAGUUCAUAGCAUACCUUUGUCACACCGCUUCUCCUAACGCCGAAUUAUGAUUAUGCAGACCGCCACGAGCCCGUAUGGACGUAUCAUCGGACGGCUCCCUGGGCUCGUCGGAUAUGGAUAGCGAUCCACUUCUGACCGCCACCUCCCCUUGCCCUACGGAGAACGCCGAGGUAUUGUCUCAAGAGGCACUGGGUCGAGGGGAGACAGUCCCAGAGGCGCCUUAAGGCGACCUUCCGGACUCCGGGAGCAGAGGGAGCAAGGCUCCUGAGGGCUCCAAGUUCGGCCAUCAGCCGAACACCGCAUCGGAACCUCCAAUGGUUCCGGACUCAGGCAGGUGACCUCCUUCCAAAAGGGGCAAGACGCCUGUGCCGGUGACCUCUGUCCAACCAGAGGCACCGAACAAUCUACUGGGAGCGCUUCGCAACGCUUCCAUCGACGAAGAGCACCGCACUAUUAUGAGUGCGGUGGUCCAGAAGGUUCAGUCCGCCAAGAGCGGAUUGACUGAAGCCUGUGCCAGCCUUCUAACAGGCUUUGAGGUAAGUUUUUUGAAAUAUAGGAAAAAUAUUACCGCAUAGACAGUAGCCCCUGAUGCUCUGUUCGGUGUUCAAAAAGAAAAGCUGAACAGAGGAUCAAACAAUAUCGCAGGAGUCUGAUAUAAGUAUGUCAAUAUGCGUAUGCAGGCUUCACUGCUGGCCUCUGCCGCACUGACUGCGGAGGUCGCCGCGCUAAAGCAGGACCUCAAAGGGUCCAAGGACGAGCUCGGCCUUGCCAAGACGCAGCUCGAGGAGAACAAAGGUAAGUAGUACCUAGUAUAUGGAUGUGUAUAAAAAGAACGCGAUUGCAAAAUGACAGGAUCAUCGUAAAUUUGCCAGGGGCCACGACCAAGGUGGCGACCCUGAAGCAAGCGCUAUCAGAGGCCGAAAACAAAGCGGCCACGGAGCGUACCGAGCAGUAAAGGCAUUAGGCUCGAGUGGGCGAGGUGCAGAAAGAGCUCCACGCUCUCGUGACGAAGCACGAGGCAUUGGAGUUUGACUUGAAGACGCGACAGUCUGAGCUUGCCGCGGCCCUCGAGAGCGCAAAGAGUGCCAAGGCCGAAGCCCAAAAGGCCCUCCAGGAGAUUGACGCGAUGUAGAAAAUAGCCGGUGGGUAAGGAAUUCUAUAUGCAAAGAAAGCAUGUGAAAGUAAAUUACCUAUUACUUACCCGAAUCCGGAGCUCUCCAGGAGCAUUCGCAGAUUUGCCCCUCAGCGUGUCGGAUGUCGCACAGUUUUACCAGGCCGAGGAGGGAAGCUCAACGGAGAAGCUGUUCUGGUCUCAGUAUACUGGGACCAAACACCCGAUGCCUUUGAGCGACCAGCUGAAGCAACUGGUCGAGUUGCACAAGGUGGCCGAACAGGCCAUGAAGGGCUUUAUAGUCCAGAUGUGGCCUGGUGAUGCGGCUUGUGGAUGCCUGCCCAUGGCUGGAAGUCAUCAAGCGGUCCGUCUGCAUCGAAGGUGCGCGCCGGGCUUUAGCCCGUGUGAAGGUGCAAUGGGCCAAGCUGGACGCCAUGAAGCUGAUUAAGGAAGGGCCGCCGGAGGGCAAGGAGCAUCGCCACCCCGAGAUGUACUAUGAGGGUGUCCUGAAGGGUGCUCGUCUCGUAGCGGACGAGUGUACGAAAGAUAUAAUAUUCGAGUAAACUUGCUCGUGUAAUCCUAUAGUUAUGAAAACUUGUUCAUAUGCGCUAUGCAACGCUUGUUUGAAUUUAAAAUAUUACCUUCUGUUUGGCUGUUUAUCAAAUCUGAGAGAUGGCUAGUCGUCGGCUUCUACCCCCAUGCCACGAGUGCUGGGGUGUUCGGGAUAAACCUGAGCACUCUUGUUCCCAUUGUUGGGUCCUUCGAGGGAGGUGCUCAGCACAACGAACAAGGAAAUCGGACUAUAAUGCGUUAUCACUCUCACUUAGCCAUAGAAUUCUAUAAUUUUAAAUUUUGGCGAAGCCCCUAGUAUUCGGAAGGCCGAAUUCGGGGCGCUACACGCCUUAAGCUGGACAGGGCGGACUCCUCACUCUAAGCGGCAUAAGUCUUUAGGGACUCGAAAACCUCUCGAACAGCGACCAGUCUCUCGCCUUAUCAUGACAAUCAGUUUUAGCUUUCUCUACUGAGGUGCUUAGCCUAGCUGAACCGGGGCACAAUCGCAGUAGUUCUCCCAGUGCUACCUUAGCCGAUAUAGUGGAACGUAAGGUACCAUAACAUGGGAGCCGGGCAAACCCAACUAUUGACCAAAGACAUGAUUCGGAGCUGAUGCAUACAAUGCUAUAAGUUCAGGGUGCCACACUUGUGAAAGUGUUCGGACUUCUCACACCAUAUUGUGGGGUACUUAAGACCCUGGUGUACUGGCCGUACCAAAGUGUACGGUUGCAAGGUGUCAUUAAUGAACACAUAUAUAAAAGAAAAAUGCAAAAACAGACUAAAGCUAUGCAUUGUUUAUUCGAAAAGAUGCAUUGAAGCAAAACGAUACAAGUGGUGCGAUAAGCAGAAAAUGGGACUAUUUGACAUGUCUCUUCCAAGGGUAAGUUGCGGAAUGGUAGUGAAAGCGGGUAUUUUGCUCGUUAUAGAGACCACCUGGGAGUUCCAUGAUGUGACGUAGCUUCCAGCCCCCCUGGUCCUUGCAUCGUGUGUUCGUCAAUUAUAUUGCUGGACAGGGUUUCCAGAGAGUGAAGUCCUGGAAGAGAGAAAAAUAACAAAGUAGGGAUCCCCUAGUGCGGUUGAGCCGCGUUUUGGGGCGUGCCAUAGUCGUGCCCCUCCCCUGUGCCCAUGGUAUUUUUAAUGCGUAAUUGUGUACGCGUGGCACGUGUGUCGCCAUUUGGAUGGGGCUGGGGUAGGGGCCGCAUUGCUAUGCGAGCUCAGAACAUGCCAGGCGGUCCUGUUGUAGAUUACUUCGGGCAUGCUUGACGGUGUCCGGAUGUCUGAUUGCCGGACUGGAGAAUUGCCUUGAUAGGCUGCUUUGCACUUCUGCUGUGAGGGCCGCAGAGUGCUCCUCGGUUCAGAGAGAGCGCUCUGUGUUUCCAUUGACUGUAAUGACCCCCCAAGGUCCUGGCAUCUUAAGCUUGAGGUAUGCGUAGUGCGGCACCGCAUUGAAUUUUGCAAAUGCGGUUCGUCCAAGCAGUGCGUGAUAGCCACUGCGGAACGGGACUAUGUCAAAGUUUAGCUCCUCGCUUCGGAAAUUAUCCGGGGAUCCGAAGACCACUUCUAGUGUGACCGAGCCUGUGUGGGCCUCUACACCUGGUAUUAUGCCCUUAAAGGUCGUUUUUGUGGGUUUAAUCCUUGAGGGAUCUAUGCCCAUUUUGCACACUGUGUCCUAAUAAAGCAGGUUCAAGCUGCUACCACCGUCCAUAAGGACUCGAGUGAGGUGAAAUCCGUCAAUGAUUGGGUCUAGAACCAAUGCGGCAAAUCCGCCAUGGCGGAUACUAGUGGGGUGGUCCCUGCGAUCGAAAGUGAUCGGGCAGGAGGACCAUUGGUUGAACUUUGGGGCGACUGGCUCCAACGCGUAUACGUCCCUUAACGCACGCUUCCACUCCCUCUUGGGGAUGUGGGUUGCGUAUAUCAUGUUCACCGUCCGCACUUGUGGGGGAAACCCCUUCUGUCCUCCGGUGUUCGGUGGUCAGGGCUCCUCCUCGUUGUUGCUAUGUAGCCCCUUGUCUUUGUUUUUGGCAUUUAACUUGCCGGCAUGCUUGAACACCCAACAAUCCCUGUUGGUGUGGUUGGCUGGCUUGUCAGGGGUGCCAUGUAUCUGACACGAGCGAUUGAGUAUAUGGUCCAAACUGGACGGGCCUGGAGUGCUUCUUUUGAAUGGAUUUUUCCGUUGACCGGGCUUAGAGCCUAUGAAUCUGGCAUUAAUUGUCAUAUCCUCGGCAUUGUCGCUGUUAAUGCGGCGCUUGUGCUUGUUGUGACGUGACCUGCCAUUGUUGUCCUUGGUAUCCGAAUUACCAGGGCUCUUUGACAUGUUAUUGCUACGAGCUAGCCAGCUGUCUUCUUCCGCGCAAAAGCGGGUCAUGAGUGUCGUGAGGGCUGCCAUAGAUUUCAGCUUUUCCUGUCCAAGGUGCCGGGCAAGCCACUCGUCGUGGAUGUUAUGCUUGAAAGCUGCUAGGGCCUCUGCAUCCGACAGUCGACGAUUUGAUUUUUCUUAGUUAGGAACCGUGUCCAGAAUUGCCUGGCCGAUUCCUCUGGCUGUUGAAUUAUGUGGCUCAAGUCACCGGCAUCUGGUGGUCGCACAUAGGUGCCCUGGAAGUUGUCGAGGAAUGCGGCUUCCAGGUACUCCCAACAACCUAUGGAUUCUGCUGGCAAGCUGUUGAGCCAAUGCCGGGCUGGUCCUUUAAGCUUGAGUGGGAGGUAUUUAAUGGCGUGUAGAUCGUCACCACGGGCCAUGUGGAUAUGAAGGAGAUAGUCCUCGAUCCAUACCGCGGGAUCUGUCGUACCAUCAUAUGGUUCGAUAUUCACGGGUUUGAAACCCUCUGGGAUUUGAUGAUCCAUUACUUCUUCUGUGAAGCAUAACGGGUGUGCGGCGCCUUGUACUGGGCUAUAUCACGACGCAGCUCGAAUGAGUUUUGUCUGUUGUGUUCGGCCCGGCCGGAUUUACUUUUGCUGUAUCCGGCGUGACGGUUAUCGUCUCGUGUCGUGGGGCGCCCACGCGAUCCGUAGAUCGAUCUUGUUUGCCUUGCUUUGUCCUCCAAUAUAUCUCCCAGGUCUAGCGCGUUUCCCCAAGCCUUGGUAUUUUUUGAGUGGCGCCGGGGUGCGACUUGAGUUGUGGGCCGAGAGGCCUCUCUGUCGCGGCCACGAGGUGGCCGGUCAACCGCGUCAUACGCUAGGGACGUAGGUUUAGAUGCUUCCUCCUCUAAUCGGGGUAGCAACCUGCAUUUUGGGUAGCUUUUGGAGGGGCGUUCGAGUUCAUAUUCCUCGGCCGCAAGGACUUCAGUCCAUCUGUCGGCUAGCAAGUCUUGAUCAGCUCUAAGCUGCUGCUACUUUUUCUUAAGGCUAUUUGCCGUGGCUAUAAGCCGGCGCUUGAAGCGCUCUUGCUCAGUGGGAUCCUCAGGCACGACAAAUUCAUCGUCGCCGAGGCUUGCCUCGUCUUCGGAGGGAGGUAUGUAAUUAUCAUCGUCUUCCUCUCUAUCUGCCGCUCUCUCAUGAGGGAUGGCUUCUCCAUCCACCUGUGCUGAAUCUUGCUGGAGGAGGUUGUCUUCGGCACUGUCCGGGGUGUUAUUAUCUCCUGUGCUGGAAUCACCGUUUUUGCUUUGGCGGGACUUAGAGCGGCGCCGCUGACACCGGCGCUUAGGUUGCUUCUUGGAGGGGUCAUCCUCCGCUGUUCCGUCGCCAUUGCCUUCUUUGGAUGUGUCCACCAUAUAUAUGUCAUACGACGAGGUGGCUUUCUAGUGCCCUAUAGGCGCUGGUUCCUGUUCGUCUCCUGCAUCGUCGUCCAUACCGUCGAUGUCUUCGGAGUCGAAGUCGAGCAUGUAGGUCAAGUCAUCAACAGUGGCUAUGAAGUGGGUGGUGGGUGGGCGUCGAAUUUCUUCGUCGUCCGCAUCCCAAUCCUGCCGGUCAUUAUCUGGCCAGGACUCUCCUGACAAAGAGAGAGACCUUAGUGAAUUCAGUAUGUCGCCGAAGGGCGAGUGCUGAAAGAUAUCCGUGGCAGUGAACUCCAUGAUCGGCGCCCAAUCGGAUUCGAUUGGCAGGGGCGGGGAUGGUCCAGAGUCCGGAGGAGAGUCCGACGAUGGGGAGUCACGGGCCUCGCGAAGGAUAAGGUUGGUGUUCGGUUCGAUCUCCGUUGAGGUUGCUGCCUCCGUGGUGGGGUCUAACCACCCGCCCUCGGAUGGCGCAGUUGGCUCCGAAUUAAAGGUCGGAGCGGCUGCAGGUGCGGUCUCCAGGACACUGUUCGGUGGCAGAGCUAAAUCAUGCCCAUCGUGACAGUGCGGCGCAUUGGGCAUGGGCUUGAAUCCGUCGAAGAUCAAGUCUCCGCGGAUGUCGGCCGUGUAGUUUAGGCUUCCAAACCUGACCUGAUGGCCAGGGGAGUAGCUUUCAAUCUGCUCCAGAUGGCCAAGCGAAUUGUCCGGCAGUGCAAAGCCGUCGAAUACAAAAAUCUGUCUGGGGAGAAAAGUCUCACCCUGGACUGCGUCGCUAACGAUGAUCGAAGGAGCCAUCAAGCCUGAUGAUGACGACACAGAGGAACUCUCAAUGAAAUCACCAAUGUCGGUGUCAAAACCGGCAGAUCUCGGGUAGGGGGUCCCGAACUGUGCGUCUAAGGCGGAUGGUAACAGGAGGCAGGGGACACGAUGUUUUACCCAGGUUUGGGCCCUCUUGAUGGAGGUAAAACCCUACGUCCUGCUUGAUUUAUUCUUGAUGAUAUGAGUAUUACAAGAGUUGAUCUACCAUGAGAUCAGAGAGGCUAAACCCUAAAAGCUAGCCUAUGGUAUGAUUGUAUGUUAUUCUACGGACUAAAACCCUCCGGUUUAUAUAGACACCGGAAAGGGCUAGGGUUACAUAAGGUCGGUUACAAAGGAUGAUAUAUACAUAUCCGUAUUUCCUAGCUUGCCUUCCACGCCAAGCAGAGUCCCAUCCGGACACGAGACGAAGUCUUCAAUCUUGUAUCUUCAUAGUCUAACAGUCCGGCCAAAGGAUAUAGUCCGGCUGUCCGGAGACCCCCUAAUCCAGGACUCCCUCACUUCCCAUAGGUUUCUUAAUAGUGGAAUCCGCAAGAUGCAAAUUUAAAGAACAAUCAUCAAAUUCACGGAAACCUAACACAUCACACAAAGUUUUCGGAAUCAUGGAAACACUAGCACCCAAAUCACAUAAAGCAUAGCAUUUAUGAUCUUUAAUCUUAAUUUUAAUAGUAGAAUCCCUCUCAUCAUGAAGUUUUCUAGGGAUAGAAACUUCUAAUUCAAGCUUUUGUUCAUAAGAUUGCAUCAAAGCAUCAACGAUAUGUUUGGGAAAAGCUUUAUUUUGAGUAUAAGCAUGCGGAGAAUUUAGCAUGGAUUGCAACAAGGAAAUACAAUAUAUUAAAGAGCAAUUAUCAUAAUUAAAUUCCUUGAAAUCCAAAGUAGUGGGCUCAAUGCUAUGUAAAGUUUUGACCUCUUCAAUCCCACUUUUACCAAUUUUGCAUCAAGAUCUAAAAACUACGAAUUAUUGGGACACCUUUUAACUAAAGCUGACUCAUCUCUAGUCCCAUAAUUAUCAAGAUUCAUGUUGCAAAACAAAUAUUUAAUAGGAGACACAUCAAUCACUUUUAGAUCUGCAUCCUUAUUAUCAUCAAAACUAGAAGAACACGCUUUUAUAAAGCAAUCCUUUUUAGCAUGCAUCCUAGCAGUUCUUUCUUUGCACUCGUUAAUGGAAAUUCUCAUGGCUUUGAGAGACUCAUUGAUACCAUGCUUAGGUGGAAUAGAUCUAAGUUUCAAAGAAUAAACAUCAAUAUAAAUUCUAUCCAUGUUUCUAGCCAACUCAUCAAUCUUAGACAAUUUUUCUUCAAUCAAAGCAUUUUUCUUUAACCACCUGAGUGCGACCCUGUCACGGGGCAAAAGUAGCGCGCCCCAUCAGACACAGUGUCUGAUGGGUAGCGCGAGUAACAGCCUGUUUUGCGUGAGCGAUUCGGCCCUAAGGACGGCCUCCAAUCGAAAAACGUUCAACACAAAAGUUAUUCGUCUCAUCGAAGUGGUCAAAUUUGCUUUUGGGUUCAUCUUCAUCUGAGGUCAUUUGUGGGCUAUGGGACCUAAAAACCAAAUUGAUGUUCCAGACUUACCUAAAUCCAGGUUUGGUUAAUUUUGGAAAGAUUUGUGAUUUGGACAUGAUUUGGAGUCCUUUUCUUGUACGGGAAGUCCAGCCUCCUCUUAUAUACCUAAGGGGUGACGGUCGAGUGAACAACACAUAAUCGCAAAAUCCAUCUACUUUUUACCCUAGUUUUACAUCUCCCUCUCUUGUUCUUUCUCUCUCAUUCUUCGUUUGUUCUUCAUAUUGAAGGGCACCGGUCCUCAAGGCUCUAGGGGCGGGCGAACCGACCUAGGGCAACCCAUAGUCGCCGUGCGUCCAGACAGGGUCCCUCCCAGGCAUAUGGGGUUUCGGGUCCUGAAAAGCGCCCGCCGGAUUGCUUGCGUACCACGCUUCCGGACGGGUCUCCUUCGACGCGAGCUGUGGUGCAUCACCCUCGGCGUUGGUGGUACACGGUAACGUGUUCAUGUGCGAGCACCCGCUUUCCUUUGAAAAUGAUACUCCGAAACCCUGAGGCUACCGGAAGAAUAGUGGAGUGGGCAUUGGAGUUAUCCAGCUUUGGCCUGAAAUUAGAAAGCACAUCAACGAUUCAGAAUAGGGCAUUGGCAGAGUUUAUUACAGAAUGGACGCCAAACCCUGAUGAAGAAGUGCUGGAAACAGUUUUUCCCGACAAGGAAGCACCCCAAGAAUGGAUCAUGUAUUUUGAUGGUGCCUUCUCCCUACAAGGUGCAGGGGCUGGUGUGCUUCUCGUUGCUCCCAUUGGAGAGCACCUGAAGUACGUUGUCCAGAUGCAUUUUCCCCGGGAGGAGGCGACCAACAAUACAACAGAGUAUGAAGGGCUCCUUGCCGGGCUCAAGAUUGCCACUGAAUUGGGAAUCAAGAAGCUGAUCAUUCGAGGGGAUUCACAACUUGUGGUGAGACAAGUCAACAAGGAUUACCAAAGUCCAUUGAUGGAGGCAUAUGUUGAGGAAGUGAGAAGACUGGAGGAGCGCUUUGAUGGAUUGCAAACAGAGCACGUACCCCGUGCGGAAACCAACAUUGCUGAUCAUCUGUCAAAGUGUACUGUGCAAAAGCUUCCUGUAAAACCAGGCACUUUUGUUCUCCAUCUUACUCAGCCCUCCGUAUCCCCAGCAACAAUGGCAUGAAAGAGGAGGAAACUGGACUCUGGUAAGCCUCUCCCGGUAGAGCCUCUCGGGGCUCCUGGCAGGGACCCUGCCGGAAACAACUCCCCUUUGAUUUUCGGGCUGCACCUGUAACACCCCGGAUGUAAUUUACCAUAUUUGUACUCCAACUCUUGCCGUUUCCGGCACUAAGUUAUUCUAUUGUCCUCGUUGUCGGGUUUUUUUCUCCGUGUGUUUUUGUCUUUGUCAUGUAUCUCAUAUCAUGUCAUCAUGUGCAUUGCAUUUGCAUAUGUGUUUGUCUCAUGCAUCCGAGCAUUUUCCCCGUUGUCCGUUUUGCAUUCCGGCGCUCCUAUGUCCUCCGGUGGUCCUUUCUACCUCUUUUCGUGUGUGAGGGUUAAACAUUUUCGGAUUGGACCGAGACUUGUCAUGCGGGCCUUGGUUUACUACCGGUAGACCGCCUAUCAAGUUUCGUACCAUUUGGACUUCGUUUGAUACUCCAACGGUUAACCGAGGGACUGAAAAGGCCUCGUGUGUGUUGCAGCCCAACACCCCUCCAAACUGGCCCAAAAUCCACCUAAACCUCCUCCAUCAUCUAGAGCGUUCGAUCACGAUCGUGUGUCUGUAAACCGCAUCUUAUUUGGAGUCUCCUAGCUCCUCCUACCUCUAUAAAUAGGCCUCCCUCUUGAAAUCCCGGGUCUUCUCCCCCCGAAACCCUAAAAUCCACGCUCCGCUGACCGGACAUGUCCGUUUCCGGCCGGAUGAAGACGUCGCCGCCGUCCGCACCAACUAGUGCCUGACACCUGUCACCGCCACCCCCACUGGCCAUGCGGCCCGCCGAGCCCACGCCCGGCCCCCGCGGCCCGCCAUCGCCGCGCCGCUCCAUCGUGCUGCCGCCGCCCUCGUCCNNNNNNNNNNNNNNNNNNNNNNNNNNNNNNNNNNNNNNNNNNNNNNNNNNNNNNNNNNNNNNNNNNNNNNNNNNNNNNNNNNNNNNNNNNNNNNNNNNNNNNNNNNNNNNNNNNNNNNNNNNNNNNNNNNNNNNNNNNNNNNNNNNNNNNNNNNNNNNNNNNNNNNNNNNNNNNNNNNNNNNNNNNNNNNNNNNNNNNNNNNNNNNNNNNNNNNNNNNNNNNNNNNNNNNNNNNNNNNNNNNNNNNNNNNNNNNNNNNNNNNNNNNNNNNNNNNNNNNNNNNNNNNNNNNNNNNNNNNNNNNNNNNNNNNNNNNNNNNNNNNNNNNNNNNNNNNNNNNNNNNNNNNNNNNNNNNNCGCGCCCCGCGCCGCCCUUGCCGCCCGGUGCCGCCACGCCUCGCCGCUCUGCUCCGGCAUCGUCCUCCAGCUCCGGCAGACUUCGGCCCAAGUCCGGCGACGCCCCGGCCUCUCCGUCCUCCAGCGACCUCCCAUCUCCGGCAACCUUGGGCUCCUCCGAUGAACAGCGCCGCCGGCUAGAUCUGGAUCUGGAUCGUCUAGGGGUUGACUUUUUCGUCCCUAACCCUAGUCUUUUUGCAUUCUUCCACAUGGCAUAACUCUGCAUCCAUAGCUCCGAUUCAUGCGUGUAGCAUAUCGAAAUGUUCGUCUCGAUGAGUACAUCAUUUAAUCUCAUUGCAUCAUUUUCAUUUGAGCUCAUCUUGAUGCCUGAAAUGUUGUUGGAAGAGGGCUAUGUGAUGAUUAUGUCAGAUUUGUUUCAGCAAAUGACCUUUUGUCAUUUUUGCCAUAAUUAAUGUGUGCAUGCUAUGAUCCUGAGCUCUACAUGUGUUUUGUAGAAUGCCAUGCCAUCUUUACAGGGGUGUUUGCCAUGUAUUUUUGUGAUCUUUGUGGUGACUAGCACAAACAUGCAAAGUAGCUUACUCAAUGAUGUUGAUUUCAGGGACUUAGAAUUUCACUAAGUCAUUGUCCUGAUAUUGUUUUUAUGCCAUAUGUUCAUGUUGUUUCCUAGUGAUCCGUGCCUCUUUUGAGGAUGAUCAGUAAGGAUGUUUUGUUAAUAUUGUUGUGCUCUAUCCAUGCAUGUCUUUGUUUUCAAUUAUGAAGCACCCUAGCUUGAGUCAAUCGAGCUCUACUUUUGCUAUAAAAUGUUCCUGGCAGAUUGUUGACAUGUUUAGCGAUUUGGCCGAGGAUGUUGAUAUUGAUCCGUGCAUGCUAUGUUGUUGUUCCUGCCAUGUCUAGCUUCUAUGACAUGUCUUCUUAAUUGGUGUAUGCUUAGAUUGUCAUGCAAUGCCUCGUAGUGAGUGCAUCGAGCUCAUAAACAUGCCUACUUGUUAAUCUGUUUGCAUGCUCCAGUUUUUCACUAAGUCUGAAUCUGUUUAUGUUUUUGCUAUGUUCACAUGCUUGCAAUUGUAUUUUCUGUUCCCUUUUGGCUCAAGGUCACUAAGAGACUUUUAUUAUAUGCUUAGAGUAGCUUCAUGCAAAGCCUUGCUUUGCCAUGAUAUGUUCCUGUAGCAUGUAUUUUUCAUGCUCUAAAGAUUGCUUCCUGAUGAUAAAUUUCUGAUAUGUUGUUAAUUUCACUAAGUCUGAAACCUGUUAUGAUUUGCACAUUUGCCAUGCUUGUUUGAACCUGUUAAUGAGUGAUUUAGCCGUAUCUCAGUGUUCAUAUUUUGUCAAGCAUCAUGAGUGCAUCCCUAACAUGUAUUUUAUUGCUAUGUUUGAGUGCUGUAGCAUAUUUAACUUGAUGCAUUUAGAUGGCUACUUGCUGUUAAUCGCAGACCGGUGCCAUAUUUGUUUUGCUUGCGAUUUCCAAAUCGUGCAUCCGAUUCCGGUGAUCUUUAUAUCGAUUUCAACCGAAAUAAACUCCCAUUUCUAGUGACACUCUUGGAUUUCCAAGUUGAGGCCAGGUUCAAUCAUUCCUUUGCAAAUCUUGCAUAUGCAUCACAUACCGCAUCCCGCAUAUCAUACCAUGUUUGCAUCAUGUUGCUUGAGCAUUGCACGUGGUUGAUUGUGCUCCUUUUGCUUGUUGUUCUUGUUUGGGUAGAGCCGGGAGAUGAGUUCGUGAAUGAGGAGCCCGUUGAGUUCGCUUACGAGGAUCAAGGCAACUCUGAGAACUUUGCAGGCAAGAUGGCCAUACCCUCGAAAUCACUUCUAUCUUUACUUGCUAGAUGCUCGCUCUUUUGCUAUGCGUAUGGUACGAUACCUACCACUUGCUUAUCAUGCCUCCCAUAUUGCCAUGUCAAACCUCUAACCCACCAUGUCCUAGCAAACCGUUGUCUGGCUAUGUUACCGCUUUGAUCAACCCCUCUUAUAGCGUUGCUAGUUGUAGGUGAAGAAUUGGAGAUCGUUCCUUGUUGGAACUUGUUUAUUGUUGGGAUAUCACCAUAUUAUCUUGUUUAUCUUAAUGCACCUAUAUACUUGGUAAAGGGUGGAAGGCUCGGCCUUAUGCCUGGUGUUUUGUUCCACUCUUUCCACCCUAGUUUCCGUCAUAUCGGUGUUAUGUUCCCGGAUUUUGCGUUCCUUACACGGUUGGGUUAUAAUGGGAACUCCUUGACAGUUCGCCUUGAAUAAAACUCUUCCAGCAAUGCCCAACAUUGGUUUUACCAUUCGCCACCUUGCCUUUUUUCCCUUGGGUUUCGCGGACUCAAGGGUCAUCUUUAUUUUAACCCCCCCGGGCCAGUGCUUCUCUAAGUGUUGGUCCAACUGAGCGAUGUGCGGGGCUACCAGGGGCAACUCUGGGCUAGCCUACCCGACGUCUGGCUCAUCUGAGUGUGCCCUGAGAACGAGAUAUGUGCAACUCCUAUUGAGAUUUGUCGGCACAUUCGGGCGGUGUUGCUGGACUUGUUUUACCAUUGUCGAGGAUGUCUUGUAACCGGGAUGCCGAGUCUGAUCGGAAUGUCUUGGGAGAAGGAAUAUCCUUUGUUGACCGUGAGAGCUUGUGAUGGGUUAAGUUGGGACACCCCUGCAGGGAUUUGAACUUUCGAAAGCCGUGCCCGCGGUUAUGGGCAGAUGGGAAUUUGUUAAUGUCCGGUUGCAGAAGACUUGAACUUAACUUAAUUAAAAUGCACCAACCGCGUGUGUAACCGUGAUGGUCUCUUCUCGGCGGAGUCUGGGAAGUGAACACGGUGUUGGAGUAAUGCUUGACGUAGGUUAUUCUAGGAUCACUUCUUGAUCAUAGUUGUUCGACCGUGCUUUUGCCUUCUCUUCUCGCUCUCUUUUGCGAAUAUGUUAGCCACCAUAUAUGCUAGUCGCUUGCUGCAGCUCCACAUCAUACCUUUACCUUACCUAUAAGCUUAAAUAGUCUUGAUCGCGAGGGUGCGAGAUUGCUGAGUCCUCGUGACUCACAGUUUCCUUCCAAACUAGAUGCAGGGACCGAUGAUACCAUUCCAGAUGAUAUGACCGAGCUCAAGUGGGAGUUCGACGAAGACUCUCACCGUUACUAUGUGUCUUUCCCAGAUGAUCAGUAGUGGUGCCCAGUUGGGGCAAUCGGGGACCGUGUCGCAUUUGGGGGUUGAUCUUCAUUCUGGUUCCGUAGUCGGAUCUUGAGUGUAUUGGAUGAAUGUAAUGACUUAUUUAUGUAUUUGUGUGACAUGGCGAGUGUAAGCCAACUAUGUACCUUUCCUCUUUAUUUAUGUACAUGGGUUGUUUCCGAAGAUUACCUCACUUGCGACAUUGCUGUCAAUGCGGUUAUGCCUCUAAGACAUGCUUCGACACGUAGGAGAUAUAGCCGCAUCGAGGGUGUUACAGCACCCCCCCUGCCGGGCCACUGGUCCACGCCAUCGAGGAACGCGCUCCCGUGAAUGAGGAGGUACCGCUAGUCCUUGUUGCCAAGCCCUAGGCUCCAACUUGGGCAAGGCACAUAUUCCACUUCCUCCAAAAUGGAGAACUUCCCAAAGAGCAAGAAGAAGCUGAAAGAGUAGCCCGGAGGGCCAGUAUGUAUCAGUUUGUCGAUGACACACUAUACAGAAGAAAGCCCAACGGUGUGAAAUUGAAGUGCAUUUGCCAGGAAGAAGAAAAGAAACUGCUGGCAGAAAUACACAAAGGCAUGUGCGGCUCCCACAUUGGAUCAAGGGCAUUGGUCGGGGAAGCAUUCCGGCAAGGACUCUAUUGGCCCACAGCCCUCCAAGUUGUGGUCGAGCUAGUCACCAAAUAUGAAGUCUGCCAGUUCCAUCCCAAGAACAUCCAUCUUCCUGCCCAAGCUCUUCAGACAAUCCAUUUGUCAUGGCCGUUUUCGGUCUGGGGGCUCGAUAUCCUCGGCCCUUUCUCCCGAGAUGCCCGGGGCUUUGAAUUCUUGUUCACUGCCAUCGAUAAGUAGACAACGUGGCCGGAAGUAGAAGCCGUGAGAAAGGUGACUACUCAGUCAGCUAUCAAGUUCUUGAAAGGAUUAGUGUGCCGCUUCGGGGUCCCUUCUCGGAUCAUCACCGACAAUGGCACCCAGUUCUUGAGCCACGCCUUCAUGCAAUAUGUUCAUGCCCUCGGAAGCAAAAUCUCAUUGGCCUCUGUUGCACAUCCCAGAAGCAAUGGACAAGGUGAGAGAGCGAACGCUGAAGUGUUGCGUGGACUCAAAACGAGAACAUUUGAUAAUCUAUAGAACUGUGGCAAGCGAUAGAUUGACGAGCUGCCGGUGGUUCUUUGGUCCCUCAGAACAACACCAAAUCGAGCUACUGGGCAAACUCCCUUCUCCCUAAUCUAUGGGGCAGAAGCAGUUAUCCCCAUGGAACUCAUUUACGGGUCACCUCGAGUGCUUGCCUACGAUGAAGUAGAGCAGUUUUAGCACCGGCAUGACAACUCCGUGCUUCUUGAGGAGAACCGUCUUCGGGCUGCUACGCGUGCUGCACACUACCAGCAAGCCCCGCAUAGCUAUCAUAGCUGCAGGGUUCAUGCCCAGUGUUUUGAGGAAGGUGACCUUGUCCUUAGGCAUGUUCAGUCCGCCAAGGGUGCAAACAAGUUGACGUUAAAGUGGGAAGGCCCUUACCGUGCAGACUGAGUCACCAGACCUGGCGCAGUCCGUCUGGAGACCGGAGAUGGCAUUCAAUUGCAAAACUCAUGGAAUAUUGAGCAUGUCCGCAAGUUCUACCCGUAAGGUGCGGCUGUCGGGCCCUGCCCGGUAGCCACCCUUUUGUACAUGCCUUGCCUCAGUUGCAUGUAACCCCUUGUACAAAGCUAGGCGCAGACCCUGAGCAACAGAGAAAUAAAUGAAGCGCUGCGAGCCCUGACAUGUUGCAUGCAUGGAUAAGCAUUUCAUGAGCAUCGCAUGUUCAUGUAGAUAAGGUCACAUAUGGUAUCAUUUCCAUCUGCAUAAACUACAAGAUCCUGCUGAGGACUUGGUCUCCAAGAGGAGAUGGAAAGAUGAGCCUACACUGCGAUCUCCAGCAAGCCAAACAGAUAAGUUCUUUCUCUUAUCCAUACGUGUUUUGUAAGUAAAGACUUGUGCAUAAGAAAACCUCGCCACUUUUUGAAACUUAGGUGCUCCCAUCCCUUGAAUCGAAUGUUGCUUCGCUCAGGAUGGUUGCAUUGGCCUUCGAUGAAAAAAGAAUGACGGGGGGCUGGUCCCUCCUCAUGAUUUGUGCCCGGUAGGACCUGACUCCACGACAACAAAACUGAGGGUACCGGCAGGAUAGCCUACCGGGGGAAAACUUGUUUACUUAAAAGUAUAGAGGCAUUCCGCCUCUGCAUGGACAUAUUACAUGCAUGAGUCCCCGGCAAGGUUUAUCUUUUUCAUUAAUAUGCUGAUCAAACAAGUACUGACCUUACAUGACACAAACGUGGAUCCAAGAGGUUACAUAAUUUGAACUAAAAUUUGGCAAGUGCCUAUAGAUUUAAGAUUGAAAAUAAGAUGAGUGCCCCGUGAUGCCCUUUCUUGUCCCUCUCCUCCUAGGCAUUGCGACGGGAGGUGAAGAGGGCAAAAGGGGUGCCUGGGCAGAAGCCUAGCCUGACCCUGUCGGUCUCCAGGAGAGGUAGCCCGACUGGGGCGGGAGGGCACAGACAAAGGCGAUGGUGAAGAGAUCGGCGGAGGCAACCCGUCAACCGCCAGCACCAGGGCCAGCAGGACGCGACAGGGCUAACAGAGCUACAACCCGCGAUGAAGCCUACCGGGGUCCAGCUGGAAGGCUGCUGGAGCAGCCGGAGGCACCACCUCCACCCCUGCUCCCAACUCCCUAGCAAAUCACCUUGCCGGAGAGGAGGUGCAUAUGAAGAUGUUGCUGCCGCCGCCUGACGGUGACGGUCUGGCUGAUGCUCAGCCGGAGUCAGAGGCGUCGCCCUCCCGGUCGGUGCCAUCAUCAUCGCCAUCAUUGUCCUCCUUGUCGCUAUCACUCGAGGAGGAGCUUUUGUCAUCGGUCGAGCUCUCCGCACAACACCCUAAGCGAGCACCCGAGCUCCCAAAAACUUUGACGAAAAGGAAACCGUCCUCCAUUAACUUAAAAUGGAGGAUGUGCCCUUCCGACAAGCUAUGGGCACGAGCAAAAGUCUUCCAGCCUUUACGGAAGUACAUGACGUGAGGGGCAGGGAAAUCUACAUCCACCAGUAUGUUGGGGAAUGUAGUAUUUAAAAUUUUUUCCUACGAUCACGCAAGAUCUAUCUAGGAGAUGCAUAGCAACGAGCGGGGAGAGUGUGUCUACGUACCCUUGUAGACCGAAAGCGGAAGCGUUUAGUAACGCGGUUGAUGUAGUCGAACGUCUUCAAGAUCUAACCGAUCAAGUACCGAACGUAGGCACCUCCGCGAUCUGCACACGUUCAGCUCAGUGACGUCCCUCGAACUCUAGAUCCAUCUGAGGCCGAGGGACAGUUUCAUUAGCAUGACAGCAUGGUGAUGAUGAUGAAGUUACUGACGCAGGGCUUCGCCUAAGCACUACAACAAUAUGACCGAGGUGGAAAUCUGUGGAGGGGGGCACCGCACAUGGCUAAGAAAUCAACUUGUGUGUCUAUGGGGUGCCCCCCUCCCCUGUAUAUAAAGGAGGGGAGGAGGAGGAGGGCCGGCCUCAAGGGGAGCGCCCAAAGGGGGGAUUCCUACUCCUAGUAGGAGUAGGUUUCCCCCUUUCCUAGUCCAUGCAGGAGAAGGAAGGAGAGGAGAGGGAGGAGGAAAGAGGGGGGGCGCUGCCCCCUCGCUAGUCCAAUUCGGACCAGCCCAUGGGGGAGGGGGCGGCCACCCGUCGAGGCCCUUCUCUCCUUUCCCGUAUGGCCCAUUAAGGCGCACUACUUCCUCCGGCGAAUUCCUGUAACUCUCCGGUACUCCGAAAAAUACCCGGAUCACUCGGAACCUUUCCGAUAUCUGAAUAUAUCCUUCCAAUAUAUCGAUCUUUAUGUCUUGAUCAUUCGAGACUCCUCGUCAUGUCCGUGAUCUCAUCCGGGACUCCGAACAACCUUCGGUACAUCAAAUCACAUAACUCAUAAUACAAAUCGUCAUUGAACGUUAAGCGUGCGGACCCUACGGGUUCGAAAACUAUGUAGACAUGACCGAGACACAUCUCUGGUCAAUAACCAAUAGCGGAACCUCUAAGGAUAAUUUUGACCGCUAUCCAGUGAUCUACUCCUAGAUCACUAUUGUACUCCCUUGCCAAAAUCAUGCUAAGGUAUACAAUUGGUCUAGUACACAGCAUAGCAUACUUUAUAGAACCUAUGACUGAGGCAUAGGGAAGGACCUUUUCAUUCUCUUUCUAUUUUCUAUCGUGGUUGGGUUUUGAGUCUUUACUCAACUUCACAACUUGCAACACUGUCAAGAACUCCUUCUUUGACUGUUCCAUUUUGAACUACUUCAAAAACUUGUCAAGGUAUGUACUCAUUGAAAAAUUUAUCAAGCAUCUUGAUCUAUCUCUAUAGAUCUUGAUGCCCAAUAAGUAAGCAUCUUUACCGAGGUCUUUCAUUGAAAAAUUCUUAUUCAAGUAUCCUUUUAUGCUAUCCAGAAAUUUAGUAUCAUUUCCGAUCAACAAUAUGUCAUCCACAUAUAAUAUCAGAAAUGCUACAGAGCUCCCACUCACUUUCUUGUAAAUACAGGCUUCUCCAAAAGUGUAUAAAACUAUAUGCUUUGAUCAAUUCAUCAAAGCGCAUAUUUCCAACUCCGAGAUGCUUGCACCAGUCCAUAGAUGGAUCGCUGGAGCUUGCACACUUUGUUAACAUCUUUAGGAUUAGCAAAACCUUCUGGUUGCAUCAUAUACAACUCCUUUUUUAAUAAAUCCAUUAAGGAAUGUAGUUUUUAUAUCCAUUUGCUAGAUUUCAUAAUAUGCGACAACUGCUAACAUGAUUCAGAUAGACUUUUAAGCAUCGAUACGAGUGAGAAAAUCUCAUCGUUGUCAACACCUUGAACUUGUUGAAAACCUUUGCGAGAAUUCGAGCUUUGUAGAUAGUAACACUACUAUCAGCGUCCGUCUUCCUCUUGAAGAUCCAUUUAUUCUCAAUGGCUCACCGAUCAUCGGGCAAGUCAAUAAAAGUCCAUACUUUGUUCUUUAUACAUGGACCCCAUCUCAGAUUUCAUGGCCUCAAGCCAUUUUGCGGAAUCUAGGCUCAUCAUCCCUUCCUCAUAGUUCGUAGGUUCGUCAUGGUCAAGUAACAUGACCUCCAGAAUAGGAUUACCGUACCACUCUGGUGCGGAACAUACUCUGGUUGACCUACGAGGUUCGGUAGUAACUUGAUCCGAAGUUUCAUGAUCAUCAUCAUUAACUUCCUCACUAAUUGGUGUAGGCAUCACUGGAACUGAUUUCUAUGAUGAACUACUUUCCAAUUCAGGAGAAGGUGCAAUUACCUCAUCAAGUUAUACUUUCCUCCCACUCACUUCUUUCGAGAGAAACUCCUUGUCUAGAAAGGAUCCAUUUUAAGCAACAAAGAUCUUGCCUUCGGAUCUGCGAUAGAUGGUGUACCCAACAAUUUCUUUUGGGUAUCCUAUGAAGACACACUUCUCCGAUUUGGGUUUGAGGUUAUCAGGCUGAAUCUUUUUCACAUAAGCAUCGCAACCCCAAACUUUAAGAAAUGACAACUUAGGUUUCUUGCUAAACCACGGUUCAUAUGGUGUCAUCUCAACAGAUUUUUAGACCGUGCCCUAUUUAACGUGAAUGCAGUUGUCUCUAAUGCAUAACCCCAAAACGAAAGUGGUAAAUCGGUAAGAAACAUCAUAGAUCGCACCUUAUCUAAUAAAGUACGGUUAUGCCGUUCGGACACACCAUUACGCUGUGGUGUUCCAGGUGGCGUGAGUUGCGAAACUAUUCGACAUUGUUUAAAUUGAAGGCCAAACUCAUAAUUAAAAUAUUUCGUCUCCGCGAUCAGAUCGUAGAAACUUUAUUUUCUUGUUACGAUGAUUCUCCACUUCACUCUGAAAUUCUUUGAACUUUUCAAACAUUUCAGACUUUUGUUUCAUUAAGUAGAUAUACUAAUAUCUGCUCAAAUCAUCUGUGAAGGUCAGAAAAUAAUGAUACCCACCGUGAUCCUCAACACUCAUUGGACCGCAUACAUCGGUAUGUAUUAUUUCCAAUAAGUCAGUGGCUCUCUCCAUUGUUCCAGAGAACAGAGUCUUAAUCAUCUUGCCCAUGAGGCAUUGUUUGCAAGCAUCAAAUGAUUCAUAAUCAAGUGAUUCCAAAAGUGCAUCCGCAUGGAGUUUCUUCAUGUGCUUUACACCAAUAUGACCUAAACGGUAGUGCCACAAGUAUGUUGCACUAUCAUUAUCAACUUUUCAUAUUUUGGCAUCAAUAUUAUGAAUAUGUGUAUCACUACGAUCGAGAUUCAAUAAACCAUCAAUAUUAAGUGUAUGACCAUAGAAGGUUUAUUCAUGUAAACAGAACAACAAUUAUUCUUUGACUUAAAUGAAUAACCGUGUGGCAAUAAAAAUGAUCCAAUCAUAUUCAUGCUCAACGCAAACACCAAAUAACAUUUAUUUUAGGUUCAACACUAAUCCCGAAGGUAAAAGGAGUGGGUGAUGGUGAUCUUAUCAACCUUGGAAUCAUUUCCUACACACAUCGUCACCUUGCCCUUAACAAGUCUCUCUUCAUUUUGCAACUCCUGUUUCGAGUUACUAAUCUUUGCAACUGAACUGGUAUCAAAUACCCUGGGGUUACUAUGAACACUAGUAAAGUACACAUUAAUAACAUUUAUAUCAAAUAUACUUUUGUUCACUUUGCCAUCCUUCUUAUCCGCCAAGUAUUUGGGGUAGUUCCGCUUCCAGUGACCAUUCCCUAUGCAGUACAAGCACUUAGUUUCAGGCUUAGGUCUAGCUUUGGGCUUCUUCACGGGAGUGGCAACUUGCUUGCCAUUCUUUUCAAAGUUUCCUUUCUUUCCCUUGCCCUUUUACUUGAAACUAGUGAUCUUGUCAACCAUCAAAACUUGAUGCUUUUUCUUGAUUUCUACCUUCACCAAUUUCAGCAUCGCGAAGAGCUUGGGAAUCGUUUCCGUUAUCCCUUGCAAGUUAUAGUUCAUCACGAAGUUCUAGUAACUUGGUGAUAGUGACUAGAGAACUCUGUCAAUCACUAUCUUAUCUGGAAGAUUAACUCCCACUUGAUUCAAGUGAUUGUAGUACUCAGACAUUCUGAGCACAUGCUCACUAGCUGAGCUAUUCUCCUCUAUCUUGUAGGCAAAGUACUUGUCAGAGGUAUCAUACCUCUCGACUCAGUCAUGAGUCUGAAAUACCAAUUUCAGCUCUUGGAACAUCUUAUAUGCUCUGUGGCAUUAAAAGCGUCUUUGAAGUCUCGGUUCUAAGCCGUAAAGCAUGGCACACUAAACUAUCAAGUAGUCAUCAUACGGAGCUUGCCAAACAUUCAUAACGUCUGCAUCUGCUCCUCCAAUAGGUCCGUCACCUAGCGGUGCAUCAAGACAUAAUUCUUCUGUACAGCAAUGAGGAUAAUCCUCAGAUCACGGAGCUAGUCCGCAUCAUUGCUACUAACAUCUUUCAACAUAGUUCUCUCUAGGGACAUAUCAUAAAUAAAACGGGGAAGCUAUAUGCGUGCAAUUGAUCUACAACAUAGAUAUGCAAAUACUAUCAGGACUAAGUUCAUGAUAAAUUUAAGUUCAAUUAAUCAUAUUACUUAAGAACUCCCACUUAGAUAGACAUCCCUCUAAUCAUCUAAGUGAUCACUUGAUCCAUAUCAACUAAACCAUGUCCAAUCAUCAUGUCAGAUGGAGUAGUUUUCAAUGGUGGACAACACUAUGUUGAUCAUAUCUACUAUAUGAUUCAUGCUCGACCCUGUCGGUCUCAGUGUUCCGAGGCCAUAUCUGCAUAUGCUAGGCUCAUCAAGUUUAACCCGAGUAUUCUAUGUGUGCAAAACUGGCUUGCACCUAUUGUAUGUGAACGUAGAGCUUAUCACACCCGAUCAUCACGUGGUGUCUCGGCACGACGAACUGUUGCAAUGGUGCAUACUCAGGGAGAACACUUGUACCUUUAAAUUUAGUGAUAGAUCAACUUAUAAUGCUACCACCGUACUAAGCAAAAUAAGAUGCAUAAAGGAUAAACAUCACAUGCAAUCAAUAUAAGUGAUAUGAUAUGGCCAUCAUCAUCUUGUGCCUUUGAUCUCCAUCUCCAAAGCACCGUCAUGAUCACCAUCGUCACCGGCUUGACACCUUGAUCUCCAUCAAAGCAUCAUUGUCGUCUUGCCAACUAUUGCUUCUACGACUAUCGCUACCGCUUAGUGAUAAAGUAAAGCAAUUACAUGGCGAUUACAUUUCAUACAAUAAAGCGACAACCAUAUGGCUCUUGCCAGUUGCCGAUAUCUGUGUUACAAAACAUGAUCAUCUCAUACAACAAUGUAUAUAAUCACGUCUUUGCCAUAUCACAUCACAACAUGCCCUCCAAAAACAAGUUAGACAUCCUCUACUUUGUUGUUGCAAGUUUUACGUGGCUGCUACGGGCUUAGAAAGAACCGUUCUUACCUACGCAUCAAAAACCACGAUGCGAUAUAGUGAUUGCUUUUUGAUCUUCAGAAAGAACCAUGUUCAUUGAAUCUGAUUCAACUAAAGUUGGAGAAACUAGCACCCGCCAGCCACCUGUGUGCAAAGCACGUUGGUAGAACCAGUCUCAUGAACGCGGUCAUGUAAUGUCGGUCUGGGCCGCUUCAUCCAACAAUACCGCCGAAUCAAGAAACAACUAGUGACAGCAAGCAAUAUGUAUAUACCCACGCCCAGAACUCCUUUGUGUUCUACUCACGCAUAUAACAUAUACGCAUAGACCUGGCUCGGAUGCCACUGUUUUGGAACACAGUAUUUCAAAAAAAUUCCUACGAUCACGCAAGAUCUAUCUAGGAGAUGCAUAGCAAUGAGCGGGGAGAGUGUGUCUGCGUACCCUUGUAGACCGAAAUGGGAAGUGUUUAGUAACGCGAUUGAUGUAGUCGAACGUCUUCACGAUCUAACCAAUCAAGUACCAAAUGCAUGACACCUCCGCAAUCUGCACACGUUUAGCUCGGUGACGUCCCUUGAACUCUAGAUCUAGCUGAGGUCGAAGGAGAGUUUCGUCAGCACAACAACGUGGUGACGGUGAUGAUGAAGUUACCAACGCAGGGCUUCACCUAAGCACUACGACAAUAUGACCGAGGUGGAAAUCUGUGGAGGGGGGCACCGCACAUGGCUAAGAAAUCAACUUGUGUGUCUAUGGGGUGCCCCCUCCCCCAUAUAUAAAGAAGGGGAGGAGGAGGAGGGCCAGCCUCAAGGGGAGUGCCCAAAGGGGGAUUCCUGCUCCUAGUAGGAGUAGGUUUCCCCCUUUCCUAGUCCAUGUAGGAGAAGAAGGAAGGAGAGGAGAGGGAGAAGGAAAGAGGGGGCGUCGCCCCCUCCCUAGUCCAAUUCGGACCAGCCCAUGGGGGCGGGGCGGCCACCCCUUGAGGCCCUUCUAUCCUUUCCCGUAUGGCCCAUUAAGGCCCACUACCUCCUCCGAUGAAUUCCCGUAACUCUCCGGUACUAUGAAAAAUACCCGAAUCACUCGAAACCUUUCCGAUAUCCGAAUAUAGCCUUCCAAUAUAUCGAUCUUUAUGUCUCGACCAUUUCAAGACUCCUCUUCAUGUCCGUUAUCUCAUCCGGGACUCCGAACAAUCUUCGGUACAUCAAAUCACAUAACUCAUAAUACAAAUCGUCAUCGAACAUUAAGCGUGCGGACCCUACAGAUUCGAGAACUAUGUAGACAUGCCCGCGACACAUCUCCGGUCAAUAACCAAUAGCGGAACCUGGAUGCUCAUAUUGGCUCCUAUAGAUUAUACGAAGAUCUUUAUCGGUCAAACCGCAUAAUAGCAUACGUUGUUCCCACUACAAAAAAAGACACAUCUGUGACAUUUUGGGCCGAACGAAAAUUUGUUCUGUCAUACUUAUGACACUUCUAUGACGAUAAUUGUGACAAACCCGGUAUCAUCAUAGAUGUGGUGGGGUCCUACUUCUAUGACAAAAAAUCAUGACAGAAAAUGGGCUUUUCAUCCUGGGCGGGCCGGAGACGCAGCUGCAUGACAUUCUUUGGGCCGUCCAUGACGGAAAAAACCAUGGUAGAAGCGAGGGCGAGGAAAAUAUCGAGGUGUUCCCGAUUACGGUGGGUGGUCGGGGCCGAGCGAUGCACAUUUCUCUCGUACACGCACGCGCGUGGGUGCGAGGCAUUGGGCUUUAACUGAACCCGAGCGAUUGCACUGCAGGCUACGUGUUAAUGAACACGAGUGAUUGAUUGAUGGUUGUUAACUGAACCCGAUCGAGCGAUUCCUUCGCUACUGCUGCUAACUGAAGCCGAUCAAUGCUGCCUCUGGAUGAACAGUGAGCGUUGCUGGGGGGUUUGGAUGAACAGUUCCUGGUGGGGGUGGAUGAACAUGACCCCGUGGUGUUGCCUCUGGAUGAACAUGACCCCGAUCGAUCGAGCCGGUUGGGGCUGGAUGAACAGGACCCUUUGGAGGGCAGGAUGAAUAGGACCACCCUGUGGAGGGCUGGAUGAACAGUAGAUGGUGGAGGGCUGGAUGAACAGUAGCCCGUGGAGGGGUGGUUGAACAGGAGCCCGUGGAGAGGGCCGGUUGAACAAUAGCCGAUGGAGUAGCGCACGGUGGAGGCUGGAUGAACAUGAGCCCAUGAAUGAACAGUCGCAGGUGGAGGCUGGAGGAGGUCGACGGUGGAUGAACAGUAGCCCGUGGAGGCUGGAGGGGGUCGACAGUGGAGACGAAUAGUAUCCCAUGGAGUCCCGUUUUAAGGUACGCCACACCCCUCCCGAUGAACAGGACCCCCAUUUCGACCAUAGCGCUCCAACACAAGUCUGUUUCCUCCGUUUUGCGGUACGACACACCCCUCCCGAUCAACAGGACCCCCAUUUCGACCGUAGGAGGUCCGUUUCCUCCGUUUUGCGGUACGCCAGACCCCUCCCGAUGAACAUGAUCCCGUUUCAACCAUGGCCGGUCGAAUACAAGGCUGUUUCCUUCGUUCUACGGUACGCCAGGCCUCAUUUCCAUCGGCUGUUCCGUCCAAGCCCUCCUGAUGAACACGACGACGCAUUUCGUUCCGACCCAGUCGGUUGGCUCCCCAUGAACACGACAACGACGCUAUUUCUCCAUUCCAACCCAGCCAUGUACACGAGCCCUGGCCGUACGUAUGCGCGAGUAGGCGUUCGAGACCCUGCCCGUGUGUACGUACGUGGCUGUAUUUUCUUUCUUGCACACUGGCCGCUGUAUGUACGUGUACAUGCUACGUGCACGCCUCUACUACGACACGUGCACGCCUCUACAUCGACCAGUAUGUACGUACAUGUUCGCGACCAGAAUGACAACGCUAUGUACACUUCGACCAGGUGGGUCCUGACUGUCAGUCACUUCCUUGCAUGCGAAGAUGUAGCUGGUGGGUCCCAGCAGUCAGGGGGCGAAUCGUUUUUUACCCGGACGCACUUCCUUGCGUGUGAAGAUGUAGCUGGUGGGUCCUAGCAGUUAGGGGGAAACGUUUUUUCGUGAAAUACGGUGGCCCGUCCAGUGGGUCCCUGCUGUCAGGUGGAGGAAUAAUUAUUUUGCGUGUAAUAAGGAGGCACUUCCUUGUUGCAACCAUGGACCCAGCUGUCAACCUCUCCAUAUACAGUCCACAUUCGAUGGAAGCCAUUCCUUGACCACGUUGACCACACCGCGCCGAGAGCACCAGGGUGGUGGACGAUGGCGAGGCCUAGGAAGGGGAUGACGCGGAGCCGGGGAAGACGCAUCAGUGGAAGCCCGCGCGGAGAGGAGUACGAGGGUUCACUGGUUUGGCUGCGAUGUGAGGAUGUCGUCGUUGCAGGGCCUAGCCAGCGGUGGGAAUAGUCGGGGGUGGUGAGGCCUCCACGACAGCACAGCCGGCCACGGGAGGCAGGAGCAUGCGACACGACCGGCGCUGCUUUGGGCGGCUGGAGCAAGUAGACCAGAGGUUGAAGAAGCACUAUGGCCGUUGGAUGGACAUCGUACGAUCACUGGAGGUAGAAUCAUUCAUAUUGACUAAGUUGACAAAGCACUCCGUCCCCGUCAACUUAGUAGGCCCACAAGUCAGCCUCCCACCAAGGUGGGUCCCAACUAGUAGGGGGAGUAUUCAUUUUUUUGUGCGUAAUAAGGAGGCACCUCCGGUGGGUCCGAGCUGACAGCGGGGGGAACAUUUUUUUUCAUGAAAUACGUUGGCCUAUCCGGUGGGUCCCAGCAGUCAGGGGGAAACGUUUUUUUCGCCAAAUACGGUGGGUCCCUGCUGUCAGGUGGAGGAAUAAUUAUUUUCCGUGUAAUAAGGAGGCACUUCCUUGUGGCUGCCGUGGACCCAGCUGUCAGCCUCUCCACGUACAGUACUCUUUCGAUGGAAGUCGUUCCUUGACCACAUUGACCACGCCGCGCUGAGAGCACCAGGGCGGUGGACGACGGCGAGGCCUAGGAAGGGGACGACGCGGAGCCGGGGAAGACGCGGCAGUGGAUGCCCACACAGAGAGGAGUACGAGGGUUCACUGGUUCGGCUGCGGUGUGAGGCUGCCGUCACUGCAAAAUAACAAGGGGUGUGGGUGAGUGGAGGGAUGCCCUGGCCAACGGUGGGAGUAGUAGGGCGGGGUGAGGCCUGCGCGGCAGCACAGCCGGCCACGGCAGGCAGGAGCAGGCGACACGACCGGUGCUGCUUUGGGCAGCUGGAGCAAGAAGACCAGAGGUUGAAGAAGCACGACGGCCGUUGGAUGGACAUCGUACAAUCACUGCAGCUAGGAUUGUUUGUAUUGACUAAGUUGACAACGCCCUUGGUAUGAGUCAACUUAGUAGGCCCAUAGGCCAGCUUCCGAAACGGUGCGCCCCAGAUGUCAGGGGGAGGAAUCAUUUUUUGGGCGGGUGAAGCUAGAAUAUCUGAGAUUGAAGAAGAAGCAAGGCAUCCGUUGGAUGGACAUCCAACGGCCACUGCUGCUAGAACCGUGUGUUGACUAUAAGUUGACAAAGCCUUGCAUACGCGUCAACUCUUUUUUUUCUGAGGGGAUGCAUCAACUUAGUAAGGCCACAAGUGUGUGGCAGAGAACUUAUAGCCCAUUUGAGAUUUGUAAGAAUGUGCAGCCAAUUUCUGAAUUCUAAUGGAAUUUCAUACAGCCCAUUUACAGUUUGUUAAAAGUACAACCCAUUUCAACCAACCGUCCAAAACAGAAUUCAAUAAAUUUCCCACAUUUUGAUGAGAUCCGAAAUAUUUUUAUCCUGAAAUUUCUAGUCAGAUUAAAUACAAUUUUAGUAUAAAUUUAUAUUACGUAAAAAUCCAACAAAACAUUGCACUCGCAACAAUUAAUGAAAUUAAAAUUUCCAAUAUCCAAAAAUAAUAAUUUAUAAAGUAAUUACGUGUUUGGUGCAUUUUUAUAGUUACUGCCCAGUUUUUAUAAUUACAUCCCAUUUAUUAUUUCUUAAAGCCCAUUUUCUUGUUAAGCCUAAUGCAUCCCUCCUAGGAAAGAUUUGUAGCCCAGCGGGGCGGAGAAUAACAACUUGACCUUGCCUGGGUAUUCCUAAAAAAAGUAUAGCUGGGCUAGCCAUUUUCAGCUUAAAAAAUUAAGAUCUGGGAUGGAUAUCUGGCCUGGGCUAGACGGGCCACAGCCCGCCAAGUUAAUAGCUGCAGCGAUGUUUUCGUUGUUGUUCAGAGGAGAAAAUAUAAUAUCUGGGCUAAACAUCGCUCAAGAAAAACUCUGCAGUGCUCACACCUCAAAAACACAAAUACUGCUCGAGCUGCUUGGUCCCAGCUGUCGGCCGCUUCUUGUGCAAUUCUCUCGUUUAUUGACUACAUAGGUUGACAAUGGUGUGGAACUGUGAUGUUAGGAAACCAGGAGGAAGCAAAAAAAUAUAGUUUUAUAUACUAAUAAGGAGGCACUUGCGUACGUGCGGCUAUGGCCCUGGUGGGUCCCCACUGUCAUCCUCUCAAGUAAAGUCAUCUCCUCAUCCUCAUGUCCGUUGACCAUGUUGACAACGCGAGACGGCGGCGCCACGGUGAGCGCAACAACUCGAAGGACGACGGAGAGGGCCUCGCGGGCCCUAUGGAUGGUCUGAUACAACGCCCGCUGCUCAUUCGGGAAGCCAGGAUCAUAGGGCCACAUGUCCGCGACGGCGUUGUCGUUUGCUUGUUCACCGGUGCUCAUUGAGGAGACGGAGGUUGUAGCACAGGUCCUCCUGUGCUGGUAGCUCUUCCGCCAUUAGGGCGUCAAAGUGCGGCCGCACCUGCUCUAUGGUGAACACGGCAUGAACCCGCUUGGACAGUGGUGCCGGCUCCUGGUCGGAAGCUACGUCCAUCGUCUGAUUGUCGUUGCUCAGCUCGGCGAGGUAGCUGGUGAGCCAGCAUGUCCGGCUGCUGGACCGAUCCCCUGCCAAGCACGAGUCUGACUGCCCUGGCCCACCCAGACCGCCUCCCUCACCCGCGCGUGCUUUCUGCUUGAAACGGUCCGUGCCGCCCGCCCCGCUUCCCAGUGCAUGCGAUUGCUCCGCCUUCAAACGACACAAUGCUAUCCGUCCGUCCUUAUGGCACCCACAUUAAUGAUACGCGGUUGCCGAGGCGGCUACUCCGGCGCCACACGUCCGUCCCUCCGCCGCCCACCAUUGCUAUAUAAAUUGCUGCGCCGGCCAUAGCCGCAGUCAUGCGCAUCCGUUCCUAUUCUCCUGUCCACACCACUACUGACCACCAUGGCUUCCUCGCGCUCCAGCGCUCUUUGGGACGGGCGGACGAUGGACCACAAGUAGAUGGCAGCCAUUGCUGCCAACUGGCUGGCCGACAGGCAGCCGGAGGACGACGACGUCCUAAUGGAGAACACGGUAGUCGACAAUCCGGCGCCAACCCCCUCCUCCGCGCCAUCCUCGCUGGUGCAUUGCACCAUGACCAUCGGCGAGGCCCAUGCCCAAUAUAUGGACACGGUGAAGCAAAAGCGUGAGGAGCAGUUCCGGGAGGCGCAGGCCGACACCACCUACAACCACCAUCUCCUCCAGGAGCACCUGCAGGUGGCGGAGCAGAUCGCCGCGGAGCAGGCGGAGCAGGAGGUGCUACUCGACUUGUACCACUCCGCCCGCGAGCGAGGGCCGCCUCGAGCGCUGGCGGUACUGCAUGCGGGUGGCGGUGGUUGCAACCUCCUACAAAGAGGGCGAUGAAGCGUUCGAGGCACUGUUUGGCGAGACCAGGGACGAGGCAGAGGACAAUGCCGGCGCCGACGAGUCCCCGCUCCGCUGGCGUCAACGAGGCCCUACUCCGCCGAGGCCCCGCGGUGCCAACAACGAGGUAGAGGACACCGCCGGCUCUGCCGAGGCCCCACCCUACCGGCAACGAGGGGGAGGAUUUCCCCCGCUCCGCCGAGGCACCGCCCGCCGGCAAUGAGACAUAGGACAUCGCCGGCUCCACCGAGGCCCCGCCCUACUGCCAACGAGGCCGCGCCACACAAAAAACGAGGAAGAGUAGAACACGGUAGGUCGCCGCCGCUCGGGUCCAAGUAAGGCCACCGCUGCUACCCUCCGAUUGCUGGCACUGAGCUGUACAUCAUGGAGCAAUUCUAUGAUUACAGGAUGAUUGAAGAGCGCUCCGUGGUUGAGCAAGCUCAUGAGAUACAAUCAUUUGCUAGAGAACUUGAGCACUUCAGUUGUAUGCUACCGGACAAGUUUGUUGCCGGAGGUAUCAUCACUAAGCUUCCUCCUUCAUGGAUCUCAUGGGCACUCUUGAUGUGGAAGAAAAGGCGAGAACAAAGGACACACGUGCUCGAGGAAUUGAGGGAGGAUCUAGUGCCAAUCCGGUACAGAAGAAGAACUUCCAGCCCCACAAGUUCAAGAACAAGGGCAAGUUUGAUGGUAAAGCAAAGUUUGAUGGGAAGAACAAGGUUGUGCAACACACGAACUUCAAGAAGAAGAAUGACAAGAAGAAAUGUGUUUGUCAUCUGGGGAUCCUGAUCAUUGGGCUCCUAGUUGCCCUAAUCGCUAUGACAAGCUAGGCGGGUUGACCACUGACGGCCGGUUAGCUUCUUGGCGGCGACAUGGAGUCGGAGAGCUAUUUUGGAGAAGGACGUUGCUUCUACUUAACUGCUGGUGCAGUUGGCUGACUGACACGUGGGCCCAAUAGGCAUCUGGGCCACAUAUCAGUUACGCAACUGCACCUACAGUUAAGUCACUAUAGCUUUUGUUCGGCUCAGCCGGACACAGGUGGGUUGCUUCAGUUAAUUAAUUAUACCUCCAAUUUAUUUCGAUUAGUUCAAAUUCUUGUAUCACUGGCAUUGGAUGAACAUGCAAAACAAUACGUACUAGCAUUAUUCCCAGGGUGAUCACCUCGUUUGCAGCAGUUUCACAUGUACUCCCUCCGGCCCUUUCUAGUCUGCAUACAAGUUUUGUCUGCAGUCAAAGUAUCUCUACUUUGAUCAAUCUUAUAGAAAAAAGUAUGCACUUUCACAAUGUGCAAAGUAAAAAGGAACAUAAGGAGUACAAAGAGUUUGAGGAGCUUUUUAGCGUUCCUGUACAUUGCAAUCAAACACACAUGCCUGGCAAUUCAUAGAGAACAUCACAAUCAAUGAUUAUGCAUCUCAGCGAUUCACAUGUCAGAGCCAAUAUUUACUUCACAACUAAAGAAUAAAUAAAAAAAUGGAUCGACGCUGCUGACAGCAAAGGGCGUCCCAUUCGAAAAUAUCAAACGCAUGUCUUCUUGCUAAAAUCAAUGAGCAAAAUUUGACAAGGUUUUCCCAUUCCAAAAUAUCAAAUGCCUAUGAUUGUGGAAUGGGCAGGGUUUGCCAUCAGUUCGGACAUUGACAUGGCACCUCGUGCUAAAUAAACCAGUUGUUCUUUUUGUGCAGUUCCACCAAAAUCAACCAAAUCCGCGCGUAGCUUGUAUGAUUUCUCCCUUAUAUGUUGCAACGCCUUGAACUUAUCGGCACCUCCUUUCUUGUGGUCGAAAUGAAUGAUUCGAUGUAUUCAUGAAAAUUUUGUGCAGUUCCCAUUGAAAUCAAGCUGAGCACCCUUGUUUGCACAAAUACAAAAAAAGUGAUUAGUAUAAAGCAAACUGUACUAUGAGUUGACAGUUUAAACACACACCUACAUGGUCCAUGUAGAGCACACUUUUAGAAAAAUGGAACUCACCAGAAAGAAUCCUAGAACAACAUUGUACUCACGCAUCACAGCAAGAAAAUGGAGAUUUCUCAGUCCUUCUAAGUUGAAGUUAGUUUGGUCUUGUGGGGGGGGGGGUAAUGUAACCAUCCUUCAACUACUCCUUAUGAUGAGAAGAUAGACAGGGCUUCUUCAUACUGGCAUAAUCGGAACUAGUCACUUCACGUACUACAUAUUCUUCUUCAGAGGAGGAUGAUCCUGUUCUGCAAAGACAAGAGGAUAACUAAGUGCUAGCAUCCCUGUUUGCUCAAAAAAGGAAAGGAAAUACUUAAAAUAGCACAGCUGAAGCACUUAUCAAGGACAAUACCACUAUUUGAUGACAGUAUCUAAACAGUAGCACAACACCAAUAGAGAUGACAAAGCUCAAUCAUAUGGAUGAAAUCAGUGGGCGAGUACCAACCUUUGUCAGGAGGCUUAUUGUGUAGAGCAUACAGAUAAAGCACUUCUCCGGAACCAUCUGUUGCUAUCUACUGUAGUGGCCAUGCUUACUAUAUACUCCUCGAUUAGAUUAAUGUUUCCAACAUCUUCUUGUGCAGUUCCACUAAAAUAUAUGGUAUCUUCAAAGAAGAUCCUUGUUUGCACAAGUAGAGAUAAUUACGUAUUACAUUAAGAGUGGCAUCAAAUUAGUGGCAAAACAAUUUCUCGUUCUAGCCAUAGCAAUAAAUUAAGAUGCAAAACUAUAUCAUUACUUGUGUCAUCACAGUUCUAGUGCUUCAUUAUAGCACCAGGAGUUGAUUUUUGUUUUUCUUCUGCUUGCUCUUCCCCUUCAUCACUUGGUUCAAUAACAGACAAGCUUCGCUUUCAAUGUAAGAUUUGGCAUGUCAAUUAGGUUGCACAAGUAUAUCACUAAACAAUGACAUUAAUUUUUUGAUGAAAGUGGCAAAAUACAGGCCAACAGUUGUGAAAUAUCCUUAUCUUACCUCAAUGGGAUAUUGCAGUGCACAUACAGAUUGGAAGUCUUGUCUCCAUUUGUGCAGCUCACUAAAAUCAAGCAACAUUACCGUAAAAGUAGCACAACAUAUGAAAGCACACUGCAGAAUCAUGUGAAAGAAGGCUAGUACUGACCUCUCAUGACGUGGAAUUCAAACAACUCACAAGAAGAAGAUCUGAACCAAAUUUGCCAACAUGGAUAGGAAGUAAGAUCUCCUCUUGUGCAGUUCCACUAAGAUCAAGCAAUGAAGCAACAUUGUUGGUGUGACACUUUGGUUGAACUGCACAAAACACUCUUAAAACAAAAGUGUUUUGUGCAGUGCAACAAAACGUCACAAUGGCAACGAGGUGAAGUAGAUAACCCUGUUUACACAGAGGUGCAAAGGAAACAACUAGUGGUCAAUAACGAUGGAUGACACAGAAGCCAACAAAAAGAAGCAUCUACCUUAUCUAAAUAGGAAAGAAAGCAAGACAGUAGCAUUUCUCAAACGAUGGCAUUUAUUAAUAUUAACAGAGAGUUUAUAUUAACAAUAAAAUUCAUUAAACAUGUAAUUUGCUUUUAACUGUGGCAUUGCAUCAAUUUUCAAGUGGCAUUAUUAGAGGGUGCUUGUUUACAGGGACAUUUUGGUGGAGGGACUAAAAAACUCCGUGCCAUUCCCAUCUAAACCAAACAGGAGGGACUUUUAGGGACUAAAAGUGGGCAUUUGGGACUAAAGAAAGAAGACCCCGAGGGAGAGUCUUUUUGGGACUUUUUCCAAUAGUUGCCCCUGCUACGCAUCGCACCUUGUCUCUAUUAGUUCAUUACUAGGGGUAACAUGGUCUUUUAGCAUGUCAUUUAAUAGCCUCUAGUCCAUGUUUAGUCCCUGGAACCAAGCAGGUAGGGACUAGGGAGUUUUUAACCAAACAGGGCCUUAGAUUAACAACAACUAAAGACAUGCAUGGGACAGUGGACGCACCAGCACCAUGUGCAUCUACCGAUGUACUGGGGUGAUGCACAGUCUGUUGCAACAAAGAACAAACAACCAAGGAGCAUAUUUGUGUUGGUCCCAGUUUUGUUAUCUUUAGACACCUUUCCCUAUGUGAGCGCAGCAAAUCUAGUCCUACUCAAACUCUACAGCCUUGUCCCCCAAAACAAAAGACCAGUUCGUUACAAAUGUGCGUACUGCGUUUGUCAUUGUUUUCCCUUUUCGACCAACGUAGGUGUUGGAUAGCCAGUCUGCACUAGUACUUUCCCCACUUCCUUUCCUUUGUGAACCACAUCCUAGAUUUAUGCUAUACAACUUUCCCCACUAGUUUCCCCCAUUCCUCUCCUCUUUGAACCACGUCUUAGAUUCAUGCAAUACAACUUUCCCCCUUCCUUUCCUUUUUGAACCAUGUCCUAGAUUCAUGCUAUACAACUUUUCCCACUACUUUCCCCCAUUCCUUUCCUCUUUGAACCAUGUCCUAGAUUCAUGGUAUAGAACUUUCCCCACUACUUUCUUGUUUGAUACAAUACCUAGAUUCGAGUGCAGAAGCGGAAAAAGCCCACAUGCAGCUAGAGCAAUGCAUGUGGAAUAAGUAAAUUAUACCUUAACGUUCUUGGGGUGUGGUUUAGUGGGUGACCGGGGGCCGUUUGACCCACACUAUGUACGGCGGUGAAGAAGAAGGGGUCGGAGGCCCUCCCGCGCCGCCGCUGGGUGAAAGUGAACAGCUGCGCCGGUAGUGGAUUCCCUCCCUCGCUGACGGCGACAGCGUUAAGCCUCCUUCCCUUCUCGGCGGACAGAUCCUGCCGGCUCUUUGACAAGAAGUGAGGGGAGAGAGAGAUGCCAACAAAGUCUUGUUUAGAUCUAGAGAGAGUGAGAGAGUGUGAAGAGAGCAACUACAAGCAGACCGGCAGUGAGGGGAGAGAGAGAGGCCAACGAAGUUUUGUUUAGAUCUGGAGAGGGUAAGAGAGUGUGAAGAGAACAACUACAAGCGCUGAGGCUCCAACGUGUAUAUAUAUACCGGAGAGAGUGUGAAGAGUGCAAACCCUAGAAAACAAGCGUCGAGGCUGCAGCUUAUACGUGAUGAGGUGAUUAUACGGUCACUACGAGAUCAUAUAGCUCCGUAUCCAUCCAUUUUGACCAGUCAAAGAAUCCUCCUGGCACGAAUUAUGCUCAAGUGUAGCUAUCGAACCCGAGACCUCAUGUUUGAUGAGCAAACAGGCUAACCAGCUACACAACCCUCCCGUUAUGUUCAAUGAGAGGAAAAUAACCUUUUAUACAUUCCUGCAUUCGUGUGACGAGCAUGUCGUGUUUUUGUGUGUGUGGGAGUCAUUGGGAUUUAAAUCAUAAUCGUGUCAUGUGGCUUUGGUGGUAAGACUAUCCACAAUGGUGCAGAAAUAAUGCAGCCUUAGUCACCUUACCUCUCUCCACGUAGUACGUUGGGUCCGACCAGUCAGAGGGUGAAACAAACAAAUUAAUAAGAAAAAUUAAAAGCGCCAGUGGUGUAUCUUACCUCACACAUCUUGCUACUGCUCGGGAGCACUGUCCAAUUGAUCCCUCUAUUUGCUCACGUACUAUUUUAAGUGAAUCCUUAUUAUAACAUGCACACAAUUUUGGGCACUUGUAUUCGACCUAAGUCAGUGUGCCAUCGUAUCUCGUACGACUCCCUCCGUCUAGGUGUAAUAAGUCACGUUAGAAGGUGCAGCGGGACCAAGGUGCAAGCAGAUUGGAGGAGAAGGAGAAACUUGACCGGUCAUUCCUCAAAUCAAAGCCCUGAUUUCUAUCUCUAAACGCAACAAUUAAUCCAAACAACUAAGAGAUGCCGUUUUAGCUACCAUGCAGGGCCACGUAUUAACUCGCAUGCAAGUCGACUUUGAUUUCUUGACUGAUUAACGCGUAGUUGCGCUCCAUGCAUUGGGUUUCCGGGGAAAUAACAAGACAGAGUAAGGAGUGUUUGGUUACAUUGCUUAGGAUGGUCAUAGUGGUGAGUAACUUGGACUACAACAUGCAUAUGUUACUAGUCUAUGUUACUACUACACGAAGUUUGCCGUCGGAAGUGAGCCGAUCUGGCUCUCCUGAGCUAGCAAGGUUUUUCUAGCCCACCCAAGCUAGUUGGCCCACAAAAGCUAACAUAUUUUAAUAGUUCCAAACGCCUAACCUUGCCCGGCUAUGCUAUAAGCUAUUCUUGCUAAGGAUCCAAACGCUCCCUAAGUAACAGCGCUCGCUAGCAACGAGGCCAGGAUGGGAUUGAGAUGCAAAGUUAAUGGACAACGCCUAAACAUUUUAGGAAUAUCUGAUUUCUGUAGGAUGACUUAACACCUAGACGGAGAGAGUACUAAUCCUCAGUCCAGGUUUGAUGUAAUAUUCGUCACCUCUUCUCUUCUUGUACGUACUCCAUUUGUAUCUCACUUCCCGUGGCUUCGCACUCGCACGAUUUUCCUAUUCUAUGAACCUGUGUGUGCGUGUGCGUGUGCGUGUGUGUGUUUAACAACAUGUGUGUGUGUUAGAGAGAGCAACAGAUCGACCUACUCCUGCAGAGAGAUGGUGUGUAGUGUACGAUUUUAGCCGCGAGAGUCGGUGCAUCCUCUCAUUUUCGGGCGUCCGGUAGGGAGAGGAAGACAACUGCCACGCCCGCUCCUAACCAGCCUGGCCCACGCAAAGCCCCUCCAUCGCCCGCGCGCGCUUCCCGCCUGAAACGGUGCCGCAUUCAUGCCCGGGCAGAGCCGACGUGAGCUAUCACUGGCGCCUGCGUUGAAGGGAGAAGCGGAUUCAAGAGUGAUGGUUGCUUCGUCCGUCCAACUUACUGCUGGGUCUAUGUGAUUUGAUGGCUCAUUGGUCAUUAUUACUGAGGUGGUAGGAAAGCUGGAUGUCCCACUCUUUCGGCGAAAGGAGGUACUACUAGAUUACAAUUUUCUCCAUUCUUACUGCCGAGGAGUGCAAGAGCAGUGAAAACACGCAUGCUCAGUUAUUACAUGGCCCACCUCACACUACAACUUUAUUUAUAAAUGACACGGCACCUACUACUCAUUCUCCUAUAAACCUUGUGCUUGGCAUCUCCAAACUAUUAACCUUGCAAUUGGCUCUUUGCCUCUUCGAGAAGUCGAGAAAUAAUGGUACUGCAGUAUAUAUCGUUCUCGCUAUAUGAGACCGAAUGAAUUGCUGCACGUCCACCACGCGGCGAGGGUCGAGGGGCGAGGGAGAGUGUGUACCAUUACAUCCGUUUCAAUAUGGAUUACAUACAGAGCAAAAUGAGUGAAUCUACACUCUAAAAUACGUCUAUAUACAUCCGUGUUUGGAGUAUGUACUAGUAGUUCAUAUUGAAAUCCACUAAAGGACAUAUAUUCCAAACAAUAUGAUAAUCUCUCUAACCAAGGUAGGGACGAGGAGUAAACGGAGGGAGUACUAGUAAAAUUUUCUCCUCGUCCUGCGAGCCACCGCGCGCGUGGGCGAGGGAGCGGGCGUAAGGCGUAGUAAGCAAGCUUCACCUCAUCCUGUGAGCCACCGCGCCCGUGGGCGGGGGAGACGGUGUACAAGCAAGCUUCUCCUUGUUCUGCGAGUUGACGGGACACAUUGAAAGUACUCCAGUGUAUACAGCCUUGCCUCUAAGGUAGGCCCCACAUGGUUUUCCUCUUUUUUUUAACAUAACGCGUCAAGUCGCAAUUUGUUUGUUCACCCAUGGUAGAUGAUCCUCCCUCCAUCUAGUGGACAACCAGUACACAUGUCAAAUUACCACGUGGGCUGCCUUUUCGUACAGAAAUGAGCUCCACCGUCUACCCGCACGGGUGUGGUUGGGAAAGAGACGGCAGUAUGUGCGCCAUGUGUGAACCUCUUCUCUUCGUGCACGUCCCCCACCUACGUGGGUGUGUGUGAUAGAUACAAACCUAGACAAAUGGCUUGUGCGUUCAUGAGUGUUUUUUGUUUGGGUGGGGGGAGGCUGAUUUCAUGAAUGUAUUUGUGGGAAUAUGUGUCGAUGACAUAUCAAACAUAAUUUUGCAUGCAAUGUGUGUGAAAUGGAGGCCUAUCCAUAUCAUGUAUAGAGGGUCAGGCGAUCCACGAGAAGAGACGGAGGGGUCAUAGAUAUUGAUAGAGUCAAAGAGAGGAUCAAGUGGGUGGGUGCGAGAUCGAUGAAGAGAGCCAUUGAAAUUGUGUGUGUGUGUGCAAGUCAAAGAUAUAGGGCGACUGACCUAGCUACCGGAAUGUCAGACGGCGCAUGUCAAGUUUGUGUGUGGCAGGGAGACAGGAAUAGAGCACUCGAUGUAUUAGUGUGUGUGUGUGGUAGGGAGUGGAGGGAGGGGUAGGCAGAUGCCUAACUAUAGAGGUAGAACGACUCGUAUAUGUGUUGAGAAGGAGAGACCCAGCUAUGUCUUGAGGGAGAUCGGUCGACAUCCAUAUAUAACUGAAGGAUGGGAAAUAGGAUGGGACAGAGAGAGAGGAGAGAGAGGGAGGGAGGGAGAGGCGUAGAGUGCUGGAUGGGUGAUGGAGUUGCUUCUCGAAGAUGGUGGGAGAGGCCUACUAGACAAACUGAGGGUGGAACUUCAAUAUUAUCAAUAAGAGUGGGGAUGUGUUUCUGUGUGUGCCUGUGCGUGAUAGAUCUGUCGGGACACAUCCAUGGAUGAUGAAGGGGAACCAUGUGUUUGGUAAGCAAACCUAACUAGAUCGAUAGAUCAAUUGUUGUUUGUCGGAGGAAGGGAGAGACAUAACUAAUGAGGUAGAUCUAUCGAAGCGUGGGGGAAAACGAGUUAUAAGGACCUAGCUAGCUAUAUGUAUAGAGGGAGAUCGGUCAGUGUACGUCCAUUUGUUAGAGGCAAAUAAGGCCCGGCGAGACGGAUAGACAGAGAGAUUCGAGCUGCGAGGUGGUGCAAGAGGCCCAACUACUAGCUAGUUCGGGGGAGGAGUGUUCGGUUGUGAGAUCGAUGUAAAGAGGGUGAGAGUUUACACGUGUGUGGGACCGUAUGAGAGACACGAGGCAAGAACACAUAAAGGAGGAGAUUGAAGGUGCGUGUGUAUGUUGUAGGCAGACAUCGCUAGAGAGGUUUAUCGAUCGGUGUGUGUCGGAAAGGAGUUGUGGAGACUGUGGGAGAACGACCUGAAGAAAAAAAAA
This 86358-nucleotide long non-coding RNA is filed under the name Triticum aestivum (bread wheat). Its description in RNAcentral is "long non-coding RNA (TAES_LNC023000)". Lineage: Eukaryota; Viridiplantae; Streptophyta; Magnoliopsida; Poales; Poaceae. The record is from RNAcentral.